GGCUCCAACAUUGAAGUCAUGCUGGGCCUUCCCAACAAUGACCUCCGAAGAAUAUCUUCCAAUCAAGCUGAAGCAAACACUUGGGUCCAAAACAACAUCUAAAAUUUUGCUAACAAUGUCAAGUUCAAGUGCGUUGCUGUAGGAAAUGAAGCAAAACCUAGACAUAACUUUGCUCAAUACCUUGUUCCCACCAUGAGAAACAUACAAAACACCAUCAAUGAAGCCGGCCUUGGAAAGUAAAUCAAAGUUUCCACUACCAUCUGCCUUGGAAAUCAAAUCAGCCUUUUAAAUGCUAUUUUAUUUAAUAAGUUUCUUCAUUUUGAUAUAAUCUUUUAAAAGCAAGUAAAGAAUUGAUUUUUACAAGCAGCUUAUGAAAUAAAGCACUCACCUUUUUAAAGUUCGUAUUAUAACUUUAAUUAAGAUGCCGUGGCCACCAAUAAUGCCACUCUUUGCCGCACAUUUGACUCUAAUAGGCCCACUCAUAUGUAAUCUCAAUGUAAAUUACAUACCCAACAUGCAAACCAACUUCGCCACUCAAACCCAACCACUAUUACAACUAGCCUAAACCCUUUUGUUUAACUCAGUUGUGUCUUUUGCCACAGGUACAUAACCUAACCUUACUUGAAGUACCCCCUUCGGCCUUAACCCCUUACUAAUCAUAACUCUCUGGAAUUUCAUAGCUAGUUUACAAAUUAGGAUGGCCAUUCUCCUGAUAAAGUGGCUAAUGUUGUUACAGAGACAUUAGAGGAUGAAGAUGAUGACGAUGACAAUGAUUAUAUGGAAGAAAGUGACACUGAACUGGUCUCGUCGGAGGGCGAUGUGUCCCUGAAUAAUGAGAAUGUCAUGGUAGUGAUUCAAGAGGCUACUGAGCCAUUUGGUUGAGGUCCAUCUCUUUCUUUUUUCCUAAUUUAAACGGUUUAUUCAAUUACGUUUUGGAACAUUCAAGGAGUUGCUUCUGUAAACUUUUGUUGGACUUUUCGGAUUCUUGUGAAAACUUAUAAAGUGUUGAUGGUUGCUAUCUUCGAACCUUGAAUUAAUGGCCUAAAGGCAAAUGAAUUUAUCAGAAAGAGUGGUUUUGACAAGUCUCAUAGAGUUGAAGCCAUUGGUUUUUUUUGUGGUAUUUAGUUGUUGUGGAAAGAUAGCUAUGAUGUGGAAAUUAUUUUAAAUCAUAAACAAUUUAUUCAUUUUAAUAUCUCAAAAAAUAAUGUGUUCCUUUCGUGGGUUACUUCUAUUUAUGCUAGUCCUAAUCCAGACAAAAGGAGGCAUAUUUGGAGCCAUUUAAAGAGGCUUGCUACUAUAGUUCAAGGGCCAUGGCUCAUUGGGGAGAGGGGAUUUUAAUUCUAUUAUAUAUGCUUCGAAAAAAAGAGGAGGUUCUUCAUAUAGAAGUGGUGUAUGUGGGCUAUUCAAAACUUGGCUGCACUCUAAUAAGUUACACGAUCUCCAAUUUAAAGGGCCUAAUGUUGCAGACCGCCCUAGUUACUAGCCCAAUUGCCUACAAUUUCGGGCUAGAGAACCCAAGACAAAGCCAAGAGUGCUAGCUUGGCCCGAUUCCGCAAACUUUUAGGCAACUCUAGCACAUUUGAGCUUGUAAAUAUCUAGAAUACUCCACACAUUUCCAGCACAUGUAAAUAACUAGAUAGUGGUAGAAUUCUCUAGAAUCUCUAGAGCUUGGCAAGCCUCUCUUAUAAAUAAGGCAUGACAUUUAGCAUUUGAGCAACAAGUUUAGAGCAAGCAACUCAAACACUCUUGUAAGAUCUCUUGUAAUCUCUCUUGUAAGCAAUAUAAUUUCUCUUAUUCGGCUUCAUUGCUCUCUUCUCUCUAGCUCUUCGAAAACCUUUAGGCUUAGUUAGUCGAGAAGCUCAAGGCUUACUUAGCAACAUUCGGCAAAGUUGUCUAAGUGCCGCACGGGUUGCUGCACAAAACACUCAUCCCGUGACACUAAGUUCACUUGGUGAAGGGGCACUCUAGCUAAAUGUUUAGAUAGGGUAGUCUGCAACAAAGAUUGGAUGACCAGGUUCGCUGAAAAUAUGGUCUUUGAUCUCCCAAAAAUUGAGUCUAAUCACAAACCUUUCUUUGUGCAUUUUGAGAAGGCUGAGGAAAGGAGUAGAGGGAACAAACCUCUUCGAUAUCUGGCCACAUGGCUUACUGAUAAAGACUUUGAGGAUUUGGUGAAUUCUUGCUGGGGACUGAUGACUUUUAUCUUAAGGCAGUUUAAUCAUCUACUACCAAUGUUUCUCUUUGGAAUAAGAACUCAUUUGGAAAUAUUUUUUAAAAAAAUGAAACCUUCUAGCUUGCAUUGGAGGUAUCCAAAGAGUUCUUGAGACUUGUACCAAACAGAGUCUUGUUCGCUUGAAGUUAAAAUUAAAAGCUGAGCUGGAGCAUGUCCUUACUGAAGAAGAAUUGUUGUGGCAUCAGAAGUCGAAAAAGGAAUGAAUUAUGCAUAGGGAUUGAAAUACUACUUUCUUUCAUCAGAAAACUCUUACUCGAAGACGUCAGAAUAAGAUUGAUGCGAUACUAGAUAGUGGAUGCAUGAUGUAGCAGAUAUUAAAGUUCAUGCUAUUAAAUUUUUCUUGGAUCUCUAUACAAACGAUUAAGAAACCUUCAUACAGUACCCUUUUACAGGUUAUUAUCUAGCAUUAACAUAACAUGUCUACCCUCGCUUAAUGCCUUAGUGGAUGAUGAUGAUAUUAAACAUACGAUUUUCAACACGGAGCCCUCCAAAGCUCCUGGCAUCAACGAUCUCCAUGCCAUUUUCUACCAAUCCUAAUGAAACACAGUAGGCCCCUCUUUCUACCAUUUUAUUAAGGAUAUUUUUAGGAGUGGUAAUAUUCCAUCUGAGAUCAAUAGGACUUUAGUAGUUGUUAUCGCAAAGACAGACCAUCCCAGCUCUUUAAGAAUGUACCACCCUAUUAGCUUAUUCACAGUUGCUUAUAAAAUAGUUACAAAGAUUAUUGCAAACAAGUUGAAAGUUAUUUUAUCACAACUCAUUGGUCCCUGCCAAACGAGUUUUUUGCCUGGUUGACAUAUUAUUGAAAAUAUUAUUGUGGCAUAGGAGAUUAUACAUUCUAUGGGAAGGAAACUGGUAGCAGGGACAAAUGGCUAUUAAAGUAUAUUUGGCGAAGGCUUAUAAUAGACUUAGUUGGAAUUUUAUUCAAGAAACUCUCAUUUGAAGUAGGGCUUCCCACUGAUUUUGUGCAUAUUACAAUGAAUUGCAUCACUACCGCUCAGAUGAAUGUCCUUUAGGAGAAAGAGUUCACGGAUGAUUUCUUUCCAUCGAGGGGAAUAAGACAAGGGGAUUCUAUAUCUCCUUAUAUUUUUGUUCUUUGCAUUGAGAGGCUCAGCCAUGGAAUCUGUCAUGUAGUAAAUACUGGAGAAUGGAAACCAAUUCAUCUAUCUUGACGUGGAACCCCUCUUACUCAUCAUUUCUUUGAUGAUGACCUCAUGUUGCUUACGGAGGCAUCUUGUGAAGCUAAAGUCCUAAAUAUAGUACUGGAUGUCUUUUGUACCAGCUCUAGAGAAAAGGUCAAUAAGGCUAAAGCUCAUAUAUUUUUUUUCUAAAAAUGUUUCCAUAGGUACAGUUAGAAAAAUUGGUUAGAUGUUGGGUUUUUCUGUCGUUGCUGAUCUUGGCAAGUAUCUUGGAAUGUUGCACAUUUGUCUUUAGCUGGCAGAAUAAGUGCCUGUUUGGGUUAGCUUAAUUAAGCUCUUUUUUGGCUUUCAGAAUUAAAAAAAUGUCUUUUGGGAUUAUUUGAGUGUCAAACCAAGUCUUUUUUUAAUCCAAAAGGUCUUUUGGGAGAAGCCAAGAUUUCUAGCUUUUUCCAAAAGACCUUUUGAGAAGUUAUUUUCUCAUUUAUUACACUUUUCAUAAUUCCUAAACUAACCUUAAAUUAACAAAUGAACAAAAAAUAUUACAUCUAAUCCAACCUCUUAAACCCUAUCUCUUACGUAUUUUUCUUGUUUUGCCUCUUCAUUGUUCAACUAAAAAAAAAAAAAAACAACAGAAGGAGCACAAUCACCACACCAAUCUUCUUUCAAGUAAGCAUUUUUUUUGUAAUCUCAUACUUUGAUUUGCAUCUUAUUUUUAAUUUAUAUAUACACACACACACACACUGAAAUCUCAUUUUUUAUUUCUUUGUCCAUUCGUUUAUGCUUUAUUUAAUUAUUUUUUGAAGUAAAUUUAUAAAGUUGACUUAGAAUGAAGAAUAAUUUUUUGCAAACUAGUGGAAUGUAGAGUAGAAGUUAUGUUUCCAAAUUAAAUUUAAUUAAUUUUGUAUUGUUAAUUUAUAAAGUUUUUUUUAUUUCGCAUGAGUUUUUAUUCAUGUGGGCAUAUAGAAGUGUUAUUGUUUAGAAUAUAAAGUGAGGAAUUACAUUUAGUUCGAAUUGUUUAGAAUGAAAAAUAUUGUUUGAUUUGCAUAUUAUAUGACAAGCAUGUGCAGUAACAAAUAACUGAAAUUAAAGUUACAACAAUUGAUAUUUAAUAUUUUGAAGAUAUUAGUAGUUGUGGCAUCAGUUACUGCCGAAUUGUUUUAUAUUCUUUUGUGUUUAUUGAUUUUCUAUUAUUCUUGCCCUGAUUUGGUGUUGUUGAUAUGUUUAUUGAUAAAUAUCUAUUACCCUUAACUAGAAUUAGAUGGCAACUGAUGGUGUCUCCCAAGGUAAAUCCAAAGCUAUUUGGGAUCCAAAAUCACAUGAAAUUAUAAUCGAGUAAGAGCUGGUAAUAGAAGUGGAACACAUUUAAGUAAGCAAGGUUGGAAAAAUCUUGUAGAAAAUUUCACAAGGGCAACCAAUAAAAAUUAUAAUCGAAAGCAACAUAGGAACUGUUGGGAUAUUGUGAAGAAAGAGUGGCAGAUAUGGGAUGAAUUGGUGAGGGGAGAAAUAGGGCUAGGUUGGAAUAUGGAGAGACAAACAAUAGAAGUUACAAAUGAAUAGUGGGAGGUAAAGUUACAAGUAGGUUAUUUAAAUUCAAGUUAUUUUAAGUUUAAUUCAUGUAUUAAAUUUUAUGUUGCUAAUUCUAAAACUAUAAUAACAGAAACACCUAGAAGCUGCAAAAUUUUGGAUUAAGGGCCUAAACCAUGCUUUUAUGUUAGAUGAAUUAUUUCAUGAUAUUACAACAACAGGAGCAAGAGCUUGGGCACCAACUUCUGGUGUAACACCCCCUUUAUACAAUCAUUCUAGUUUUGAAAAUAUUCUUGAGGAUGACAUUGUUCCAGUGGAUAGUUCAAAUUUUGAACAAGUCAACUAUGAUGAAAUAGGAUAUAGUGACUGUUUGGAAAAGAUUCCACAAAGAAGAAAGGAAUUAAAAAAAGCUAACAUGAAAAGAUCUAUUGCAUCUAAGUUGACCAAACAACUUGAUGAACUUUGUGAGGCAAUUAAGAACAAGGAUUCAUAUAUACGUACUGAUCCUCCUGAUUGUAGUGUUCAGGAGGUUGACAAGUUAGCUACACUUCUAGGAUGCCAACCAAUGUCUCCUAUAUUUAAGUUGGACAUUCGUUUGUUCACAAAAAAGGCAAAUAAAGAGACUUUUGUUACUUAAUCUAGUUAUUUUAUUCUUUUUUUUAUAAAAAAAAAAGGUAUUUUAAUUUGUAAAAGUUUAACUAAAUUGAUCAAAUAAUUAUUUUGUUUGUCAUUGAUUUUUAAAUUUCAUAAGUAUUUAUUAGACUCAAAUAUUUAAGGGUAUUAAUGACUUUAAAAUAAUUAAAAGAUCUUUUUUAGAUGGUCAUCCAAACACUUCAAAAAGAGCUUCUCAUUAAAAAAAAAAAAUUUAUUAUGGUCAUCCAAACGGCAAAAAUAAGCUAGAAUUUCUACUUAUAUUUUACUUUUAAGUAGAAGCAAAAGCAAAAGCCAACACAAAAAGGCCCUAACUCUUGCUCAAUCGGUCAUCAAAGAGGUACCCAUCUAUGCUAUGUAAAUUACAAGCCUUCUCGUGUGUGUCAAAGCCAAAAAUUGAUCAAGCUUGUAAAAAUUUGAUUUGGAGUGGAGCUAAUUCUCAAUGGAAGAUGAAUCUUGUGAGUUAGGAUAAAGUUUGUCAACCUAAAAGCUAUGGUGGUUUAGGCUUAAAAAUUCUUGAAGUAAAAUGAAGCUUUAUUGAUGAAAGCGGGGUGGAAUCUUAUUUCAUCCCCUACUAGCCUUUGGACCAAAGUAUUACUUACAAAGUAUGGGCUGAAUCAUGAGAACUUGCUAUCAGUCUUGCCAACAAGAAAUGGUUCAUACUUAUGGAAGUCCAUUGGAAAAGUAUGGAAUGAUACAAUAAUGAAGAUUCGGUGGAAAAUUGGAGAUGGCAAGAAGGUUCGUUUUUUGUGGGACUGCUGGGUCACAAAAGCUCAGCCGUUGAUUGUCCAUGCUAUGGCCCUGAUUCCUACUGAUAUUAUUAAUAAGACUGCUACUAAGUUUGUUAAUGCACAGGGUAAUUAAGAGUUUCAGUCAUCUCCUCCCAACAUAUCCUUCUUCGAAUUGCUUCAUUUCGGCCACCAAUGAAAGGCUAUGGAGAAGAUCAGAUUUUUUGGUCUAAAUCUAAGAAAGGUAACUUCACGGUAAAAUCAGCUUAUGAUGCUCUUUCCAAGGAGAUUAAGAGAGAGAAUGAUCAGAUAUGGAGUUGUGUAUGGCGUUGGAAUGGUCCUCAAAGUAUUCGUGUUUUCAUUUGGCCAGUUUUGCAUAAUAGAUUGAAAACAAAAGCUGAGAUUUCAAGGAGACAUGUUCAAUUAGAUUGCAAUUUUGAUCGUUGCGGUGGUGGUGCUGAGAUUACUUUGCAUGUGUUACGGGACUGCAUGAUAGCUAGAAGAUUUUGGAAUGCCAUCAUCCUGGUACAUCAAUGUCAAUAUUUUUUCUCUCUGAACUUGCGAGAUUGGAAGAGCUAUAAUUUGACGAACACGGAGCAGGUUGGAUCAAAUUUUAGUUGGAAUAUUUUCUUUGGGGUAGCUAUAUGGCAUCUUUGGUUUUGGGGUAAUUAGUUUUUAUUUCAUGGUGUGACUUGGGAUUGUGCUAGCAUGAUAUUUGAUGUCAAGAUAAAAGCUACAAAAAUUCAACGUAUUAGUACCACGCCAAUGGGUAUGAAUAAUCGACAGGUUGAGAAGUGGAUAUGUUGGUCUCCUCCAAUCUGGCCUUGGUGCAAGUUAAAUACUGACGGUGCUAUAAAAAAAGACUGGGGAAGUAAGUGCAGGCGGUCUUAUUAGAGAUCAUAAUGGGGCUUGGGUGGCCAGCUUUGGAAUGAAUAUUGGAUCGUGCUCGAUUACAGUAACUGAGCUUUGGGAUCAAGGUUUAAAUGUUGCUUGGCAAAAUGGGAUUCAAUGGUUACUAGUUAAAGUUGACAACCUCUGUAUUUUUCAACUAAUCACCACUCAUAUGAUCACAGCUAAUGAGUUUUUCCUCCGAUUAAGUCCAUUAAAGAUCUCAUUAGUCGCAACUGGCGCAUUACCAUUAAUCAUGUUUAUAAGGAGGCUAAUUUUGCAGCAGACUUCUUAGCAAACCAUGCACUAUCAACUCCUUUGGGUCUUCAUUUGUUACCAAAUCCUCCUAGCAUCAUUGAUUAUCUUAAACAUGACAUGUAUGGGGAGGUUACCUACGUUUUGUUUUUCCUUAGCUCUUUUUAGAGCCCCUUUGUAUCAAAAAAAAAAAAACAAUAAUACUAUGCUUACAUAAUUUUGAUACAUAGUUUAGAUACCAACUGCUGUGAUAUUAUUUAAUUGGCUCUAGCUGGUAGCUGGUGAUAGUUAUAAAGCCUUUUCAUUUCUCAUCCAAAUGAUUAAGUUCGAUUGGUGACAAAUCAGCUAAGAUACAAACUAAGUUUCCCAGUAACUGAGUAAGGGCAAGGUUAGUGAUGUUGUAGCUUUUAAAAACAUUAGUUGUAAAGAGAAUCAGUUGAGCAUUUAGCAAAAUUUAUUUUUAUAAGUGUUGUGAGUUCUAAAAGCAGUUGUAUGUAUUUGGUGAAUCAUACAGUUAAACACUUAAACUGUUGUAAGAAUGUAAAUGACUAAAUGGAACAUAGUGUUAAUAAAAUUUAUAAAAAUGUACAUAAAAUAAUUUUUGUUGUGGAUAUAUAAUAAUUGAUAAUUAAAAUAAAUAUUAUUUAUGUUACUAGUUUUAUUUUUUAUUUUACUGUCUCAAUAUAAUUGGUGAUAAUAAUAAUAAUCCAUUUAAAGUUAAUGUUUUUAUUUCCUAAUUAAUAUGGAAAAUUUAGACUUUUAUACUACAUGGAGAUAUAUAUGGAAUUGUAUUAUGUAUAGAAUUGAUUUUCAAAAUUAGCUAUUGAAAAAUUACUCAUUUCCUGCAUUUGAAAAUCUACUAUAGGAUGGAGUGAUUUUAUUGGAAGUGAUUUCUAAAAUAAAUUACCAAGCACUAAAGUUAACUUCUAGCUUUUCAAAAUGACUUUUAAGCCAUUUGAAAGCAAAUCCCAAACGAGCCUAACUAUAGCAUUACUCAAAAUUUAAAAAGAAAUUAUAUCUUUUUUUAAAAGCUUAAUUUUAUAAUGAUAUUAAACACCCUAGUUUUAAACAUUUCUUGGAUUUUCCUACACUUUAAAAUCCCAAAUCAAAUAUAAAACUUUGUCUAUAUUGGUCAUUAUAUAAUAAAAUAACACUUUUGUAACAAAAUUUACUAAAUACACAAAUUCUACUUUUCAAGCUCAUAAUAAUUAAGUAACACAGUUUACUAAACGUUAAACUACUUUUUUAAUCAAUAGACUAUGUUAUGGGAAUUAGAAUUUCUAGAGAUAGAGGUUCUAGGAUGCUAUAUGUAGAUCAAGAAAAUUAUUUAGAUGAAAUACUCAAGCGAUUCAAUAUGACAAACUGUAAACCAGUUAGCACACUUGUGUGUAAAGCCACAACUCUCCAUAAGAAAUGGUGGCCAACAAAUAAAACUGAAAUAAAAGAAAUGGAAAAUGUACUUUAAACACAGGCUGUUGGAAGUCUUAUGUACACAAUGACGAGUAUUAGAUCACAUAUAUCACAUGUAGUAGGAGUUGUUCGUAGGUAUAUAUAUCAAAUCCAAGAAAAGCACAUUGACAAGCAGUUAAAAAAAUUAUGAGGUACUUAAAAGGAACAAAAGAUAUGAAAUUAUGUUUUGGAUUAAACGAUCUAGAGAUUGUUGGAUAUUGUGAUGCAGACUUUGCAGGUAAUAUAGAUGAUAAAAAGUCAACAUGUGGUAAUGUAUUCUUAUUUGGUGGAACAACUGUUUCUUGGCUAAGUAAGAAACAAGCUUGUAUUGCAAAGUCAACAAUGGAAGCAAAAUACAUAUCUUGUAGCACAACAGUAAGCACUGCUGUAUACGCUAAAAGGUUUAUUAAUAAUCUACAACUAAAUUUAUCUAAAGAACUUAUUAAUUUGUUCUGCAAUAGUAAGUUUGCCAUUUUUUUUAGUUAAAAGUGGAGUAAAGAGCUCAAAAGGAAAACAUAUCAAUAUAAAUUAUCACUAUGUACAUGAUAUAGUAGAGAGCGGAAAAAAAAAGUCGACUAUUUCCCUUCUAACAAGAUGGCAACUAAUCCCAUGACCAAGGGAUUAUCUUUGGAAAAGUUCAGAGAGCAAGUGACUACUACGGGUUUAAGAAUCAUCUAAAUGUGCAGUCAUAACAUGCGGUAUAAGGGUAUCAUUGAAAAUUCUCAAGGACGCUUGAAAAAAUAAUCGAUACAACUCUGUUUGAUUCAUUAAUUGGUCAAAUGAAAGAUAAAGAACACUAAGCGAGGAAACAAGGGUUAUAAUAGAUCAUUUUUUCUGUAAAGUUUGUUUAAAGGCAUCAAUGAUGAAUCUAUGUAACACUAGGUGUUUAGUGUAAAGUUACCAAAUAAAACUAGGUAUGAACAACGCUCCUAGUUUAAGAUAUUAGUGAAUUUUAUUUUAUAAAAUGUAGUUACCUUUACUUUUGUAGUUUGGUCUUGGUGUUAUGAUGUAUGAUAAUAAACGAGAAUGUGCAUAUUAAAAUUAUAAUCAUCUAAGAAUACAAACUACAUCAUUUGAUCAAGUGGGAGAUGCUAAUAUUCAUGUGCUCAAAUGGUCCCAUACAGAACAUAUUAAGCUUGCAUAAUGUAUCACAAAGUUGAUACACAUGAGAUACCUACAUGUUUAAAUUUGAACAUGUAACUUGUAGAUGGAUAAUGGAAGUUGCUUGUUCAAAUUUCAAACAUGAAACUACCACAUUAUUGCCUAUAUAAAGUCAUAAACACAUUACAAGUAAAUUCAUUCCAAGACAUACAUAAAAGUUGUUAUCUUAUGAUCUUGGAGUUCUGCAUGUAACCACCAACCUAACAGUGGUGUAAAACGAUCAUUAAAUCCAGCAGACAGCUAAGAUACAAACUAAGUAUCCCAAGAAGCAAGGGAAACUUAUUUGCAUUAAAAAAACAAGCCAAUACAAGCUGAUAGCGGUCCCAGUCAAAGCGUAAGUGAUUGAAUAUAUUUCUACUUAGGGUGAGAAAUAAGACCACAAGAUAUUUGAUUUUUUGGAUAAUAGUCAAUGCCUUUAUUCAAGUCUGUUGGAGCUUAUUUAUACUUGAAACAACUUAGCCAAACAAUCUAACUAUCACUCGAGAUUGUAGGCAGGUACUAAGCUAACAACUUGACUUAUUCUUUUAGCUUAACAAAACAACCGAAUAUGAAUUAAACCAAAUAAUAAAUCUCCAUUAAAUCAGCAAGUGAUCCCAUGUUGACCGAAUCAAUCCAUGAUCCCUGUAGACUGCUCCAACAACCAUUCUUCCAACGUGUUGCAUGUUGCAUGUAACGUAUGCAUGAGUCUUGAGCCAUGUGUGUUAACAUGAAUAUGUUAAUAAUAUUGAUUUUGAUGAUAACAAACUUUAAAUGGUUCUUUGAUAAAAAUGUUAGAGCUAUUCCUUAAUAAACAAAACCCUUAAUAAUCAUUCCAUUCAUUUUUUCAUAAAAGAUGGACUUUCAAAUUAGAAAAGAUUCUCUGCAGAAUUUGGUUUAAAAUGUAAUUCUGGACAUAAACGGUAAACCGUUUUCCUUUAAAUGGUUAACUGAUUAAUACCAGAGAGCAACAUAUUGCCUAAAGCUCUAACUGUUUAUGAAAAACGGAAAACACAAAAGAUGGGAAGGCUACUGGAACUUAACGGUGAACCGUUUAUAUUUAAACGGUUAACCGAUAACAUCCAGAAUCACUGAUUAACAAAACCGGUUAAGGCUGAAUUGUUUUGCAUGUUACUGGAGACAAAUGGCGAACCGUUUAUUACAAACGGUUAAUCGAUAACAUCCAGAGAAGUCACUUCAUGCAAAUCCUUAACCGUUUAAUAUAAAUGGAUAUUAAGACUGAAUUAUUUUGCAGGUUACUGGAAACAAACGGCGAACCAUUUAUUAGAAACGGUUAACCGAUAACAUUCAGAGAAGUCACUUCAUGCAAAUCCUUAACCUUUUAGUGUAAACGGAUAACUGAUGUUCAUCUUGCAGGUCCCUGGAAAUUAACGGCAAAAGGUUAAUCCUAAACGGUAAACCAUUUAUUUGAAAUUUGGCCUAACGGUUACUUUUGACCAGCCUAAACGAUUAACCAUUAAUAGUUAACGGCGAACCGUUUUCGGGCCGACAAUUUGUAACGGCUAGUUUUUCAGCUCCAAAUAUAAAUAAGCUCAUUCAAAUUCAAAGAAGAUUGAUCACAACACGACCAUUAAGCUAAUAUUCGAGAAUACAAUCUUCAUAGAGCUUAGAACACAUUCUUGCUUCAUCUAUUCACAUAUUAGGCAUCAUUGUGUAAUCCUAUAUAUUGUGAGAGGCAAAUCAAUUUGUAAUCUUUUACUUUGAGUGAUUGUAAGUGUUGGGAUACACUUGGGUUAAGAGAUUGGGGAUAAUCUCUUGUUGUAAAGGUUUAUUGACACCUUGAAAGUCAAGUGUAAGCAUUUGAAGCCUUGGAGGCUUGCUUAGUGGAAUCCUCAAGCCCGGAAAGCUUGGAGGCGUGGACGUAGGCGAGGUUGGCCGAACUACAUAAAAAUCUCUGUGUUUGAAUCCCUUUCCCCUUAUCUUUUUAUAUUGUGAUCAACUUAAUUGUUAUUGCUUUGAAUUUGGAUUAUAUUUGCAUUAAAUUUUUCUUUAUAAAUUGAAUAAUUUUUAGAAUCCCAAUUCACCCCCCUCUUGGGUUGCAUACUUGUAUUUCAAUUGCUAUCAGAGCCUUGUUCUCUUGUUAAGACUUAAUCGUCUAGAGUAAAAGAUCCAUGGCAACCCUAAAUGACUCAACCUUUAGAGAAGGGCAAUCUACAACUAGACCGCCAUUCUUUGAUGGAAAUGACUACCACCAUUCUUUGAUAGUGAAUCUAGAAUACUACCACUAUUCUUUGAUGGAAAACUAGAAUUAGAAUUUACUUGCAAGCCUUAGAUUAUGAAAUUUGGGAAGUUGUUUGUGACGGUCCAUUCAUGCCUAUGUUUAAAGAUGAAGUAGGAGAUGAUAUUCUUAAACCAUCAAGUCAAUGGAGUGAGUUAGAAAAGAGAAAAAUGUCUCUAAACUCCAAGGCUAUGAAUGCUUUGUUUUGUGCCCUUGAUAAGAAAGAAUUCCAUAGAGUAUCUAGUUGUGAAAGUGCACAAGAGAUAUGGAACAAACUUGAAGUUGUCUAUGAAGGGACAAAUCAAGUAAAAAAGUCUAAAAUCAGUAGAUACACUCGUCAAUAUGAGUUGUUCCAAAUGGAACAAAAUGAAAAUGUGUAUUCUAUGUAUACUAGAUUUACGGACAUAGUGAGCACCCUAGGUGCCUUAGGGAAAACCUUCUCAAAUAGUGAGAAAGUUAAGAAAAUCAUUAGGUCACUUCCAAAAGAAUGGAGACCUAAAAGAACCACCAUUGAAGAGGCCAAAGAUUUAAAUACUUUACCUCUUGAUGAUUUAAUUGGUUCUCUCAUUUCAUAUGAAAAUGAUUUAGCUGCAGAAAAAGGACAUGGAGAGAAGAAGAAAAGCAUUGCUCUCAAAGCUUCAAAAUAUGAGAGUGAUGGGGAGAGUGAACCGGAUGAUAAAGAGCUAGCCAUGCUAGCAAUGAGGUUCAGAAAAUUCUUCAAGAAAACCGGAGAGCGAAGAAAUUUCAGAAACUUCAAGAACCAUAGGGAGAAGAAGGAGGCAAUCACAUGCUAUGAAUGCAAAAAGCCUGGACAUAUAAGAUCGGAGUGCCUACUUAUCAACAAACUCAAGAAGAAAGCAAUGGUUGCAACUUGGGAUGAUAGUGAGGAAGAAUCAAGUGAUGAAGAAGGAUCGCAAGAAGUAUCAAACCUAGCACUCAUGGCAAUAGGAGGGGAUGAUGAUCUCAAUGAUUAAAGAUUUGCAUAAUGAGUUGAUGAAGAUUGGUAAAAAGAAUGUAUGUCUUAAAAAGGAAAUGACAAAGCUUAAAAAUGAAAAUAAAUCUCUAAAUGCAAGAAUUGUAUGCCUAGAAGUAGGGAACAAAACACUGCAUGAUGAAAUUGCAUUAUCAAAUGAGAAACCUAGCAUCUUACAUGAGCAUUUAGAAUCACACAUAGAUGAGUUGAAAAAUGAGAACGAAAUGCUCAAGAAAAAGAGUAAUGAAUUGAAUGAAAUUGUUUUGAAAUUUACAAAUGGGCAAAAGAUGUUGGAUAAUAUGCUUAACUCACAAAAAUGUGUUUUUGAUAAAGGAGGACUUGGAUAUAAGCCUAACUUGAAGCAAAAGUAUUAUAAGAAUUAUUUUGUUAAAGCUACCUCCACAAAUAAUCAUAAGAUUGUAUGUCAUUAUUGUAAUCAAAAUGGUCACAUGAAAUAUAGAUAUCCCGUGAAAAAGAAUGCAUAUUAUGGUGUCAAAUGCAUUUGGGUUCCAAAAGAAACCGUUGCUAACUCUCAAGGACCUAAAAAGUUUUGGGUACCUAAAACUUGAGAUUUUCUUUCUUGUAGGGCUUGAAGAAGAAGAAAAAUAAAUGAUACUUGGACAGCGGUUGUUCAAGGCACAUGACCGGAAACUAUGCAUGGUUCUUAAGCUUCACCAAAAUUGAAAAUGGUGGAGACGUAUCUUUUGGAGACAACUCAAAAGGAAAAAUUCUUGGAAUUGGAAAUGUUGGUAAAGUCUCUUCAACUCUAAUUGAGAAUGUGUGUUUGGUUGAGAACUUGAAACACAACUUAAUUAGCAUUAGUCAAUUAUGUGACAAAGGUUAUAAAGUUAUCUUUGAUAAAUUUAGUUGUGUUAUUGAGAACUCAUGUGAUGGAAAAACCUUGUUUGUUGGUAAUAGAUGUGGUAAUGUUUAUAUCAUUGACAUAGAAUGUGCAUCUACUCUUGAUAAAUUUUUUUCCGCAUUACAUGAUGAUAAUUGGCUAUGGCAUAGAAGAUUAGGACAUGCAAGUAUGGAUUUGAUUUCGAAAAUUUCAAAAAAUGAUUUAGUUAAAGGUCUUCCGAAAAUUGGUUUUCAAAAGGAUAAGAUUUAUGAAGCUUGUCAAUUUGGAAAACAAAUUAAAACUUCUUUCAAGAAUAAAAACCAUAUUUCUACUUCAAAACCUCUUGAACUUCUUCACAUAUAUCUUUUUGGACCAUCUAGAUAUGCGAGUCUAAAUGGUAAAUAUUAUGCAUUUGUGAUAGUGGAUGAUUAUUCUAGAUAUACAUGGGUAUUAUUCUUAGCCAAUAAGGAUGAUGCUCUUGAUGCUUUUAAAGUGCUUUAUAAGAAAUUACAAAAUGAAAAAGGGAAUAAUAUUAUAUGCAUUAGGAGUGAUCAUGGAGGAGAAUUUGAAAAUCAUGCAUUUGAGAACUUUUGCAAUAAUCUUAGCAUUGAGCAUCAAUUUUCAUCACCUAGGACUCCACAACAAAAUGGAGUUAUUAAGAGAAAGAAUAGGUCUAUUCAAGAAAUGGCUAGGACCAUGUUAAAUGAAAAUGCAUUACCUAUAUAUUUUUGGGCCGAAACCGUCAACACCGCUUGCUAUGUUUUAAAUCGGGUGUUGAUUAUACCUCAUCUCAAUAAAACUCCCUAUGAGCUUUGGAAAGAUAGAAAACCCAACAUUGGCUAUUUCAAAGUUUUUGGAUGCAAAUGUUUUAUUUUAAACACAAAAGAUAAUCUUGGUAAAUUUGAUCCAAAAUCUGAUGUUGGCAUCUUUCUUGGGUAUUCAAACUCAAGUAAAGCUUAUAGAGUUUAUAAUAAAAGAUCUUUAAUUGUGGAGGAGUCCAUGCAUGUUAUGUUUGAUGAAUCUAACCCCUCCUCUGCGGAGAAAGGAGUUGAUAAUGAUGAAGCAGACGGAGAUUUACAAGAAGAAUCAUCAAAAGAGAUUCAAGAAAAUGCAUCACAAGAAAAUCAAGAGGAUAGACAAGAAGAGCAAACAAAUACUGAGAUGGAGCAACAAGAAGGUAUUUCCCAAACACUCCCCAAGGAGUGGAGGUAUGUCUCUUCUCAUCCUAUAGAUGUAAUUUUAGGAGAUCCCUCACGAGGUGUUACAACUAGAUCAUCACUUAGAACUACUUGUGAGCAUAAUGCAUUUAUCUCUCAAAUUGAACCCAAAUCCUUUACGGAUGCGGAAAAUGAUGAAUCUUGGAUUAUGGUAAUACAAGAGGAGUUAAAUCAAUUUGAAAGAAACAAUGUGUGGGAAUUAGUUCUUAAACCGGAACACCAAUCUGUCAUAGGCACUAAAUGGGUAUUUAGAAAUAAGAUGGAUAAAUCCGGGGUGGUUGUAAGAAAUAAAGCUAGAUUAGUGGCUCAAGGUUACAACCAAGAAGAAGGAAUUGAUUUUGAUGAAACUUUUGCACCUGUAGUAAGGUUAGAAUCAAUUAAUGUUGUUAGCAUAUGCAUGUCAUAAGGAUUUUAUUUUAUAUCAAAUGGAUGUCAAGAGUGCUUUCUUAAAUGGAUAUAUUAUGACUGAAGUUUAUGUGAAACAACCUCCUGGUUUUGAAAAUGAAAAAUUUCCAAAUCAUGUUUAUAAGUUGCUUAAAGUCUUGUAUGGAUUAAAACAAGCACCUAGAGCAUGGUAUGAUAGACUUAAAAAUUUCUUGCUAGAAAAUGAUUUUUCUAUGGGUAAAGCGGAUACUACUCUAUUUGUUAAGCAUAAGAACCAAGACAUACUUAUUGUUCAAAUUUAUGUUGAUGAUAUAAUUUUUUGUUCUACUAAUGAGUUGUUGUGUAAAGAAUUUUCAUCGUGUAUGAGCAAAAAAUUUGAGAUGAGUAUGAUGAGAGAGUUGAAGUACUUCCUUAGACUUCAAAUCAAACAAAACGAGGAAGGAAUUUUCAUAAAUCAAGCCAAGUCCAUAAAAGAUCUACUCAAACGAUUCGGCAUUGAUGACUCAAAGACCAAGAAUACACCAAUGAGCACAACAACCAAGCUGGACAAAGAUAAAAAAGGCAAAGAAGUGGAUAUCAAAAUGUAUCGAGGUAUGAUCGGAUCCCUACUUUAUUUGACUGCAAGUAGACCCGAUAUCAUGUUUAGUGUAUGUUUGUGUGCAAGAUUUCAGUCAUGUCCCAAGGAAUCUCAUUUGCUUGCUGUUAAAAGAAUUUUUCGUUAUUUGAGUGGAACCAUAGAUAUUGGCCUUUGGUAUCCUAGGGGAACUCAUAUAGAUUUAAUAUGUUAUUCGGAUGCGGACUUUGCCGGUUAUAAAGUGGAUAGGAAGAGCACUAGUGGUACUUGCAUAUUCUAGGACACUCUUUUGUUUCAUGGUUUAGCAAGAAAUAAAAUUCUGUCGCACUUUCAACUACCGAGGCUGAAUAUAUAGCUGCCGGAAGUUGUUGUGCACAAGCACUUUGGAUGAAACAAACACUUAGAGAUUAUGGCAUUAAUCUUGAACAAAUUCCUAUUAAGUGUGAUAAUACUAGUGCUAUAAAUCUUUCAAAGAAUCCCAUUCAACACUCUAGAACCAAGCAUAUAGAAAUUAGACAUCAUUUCUUGAGAGAUCAUGUUCAAAAGGGAGAUAUUGCAUUAGAGUUUAUUUCUACGGGAAAACAACUUGCCGAUAUUUUCACAAAACCGCUUUGCGAAGAACAAUUUUAAAAAAUUCGGUAUGAACUUGGGAUGAUGAAAUUUUCGCAUUAACGUAUCUAUUCAUGCUAUUGAGUGUACUGAAUUGAUUGACUUACUUGUGAUCAAAUAUUUAUGAAAUGCUUGAGCUUGAUAGUCAAAUGAUGAAUUUGCCUUGAUAAUUCUUGAUUAUAUGAAUUAAUUGGUUGAAAAACAUGUUCAUGAAUCAUGCAUUAAAAUGGCUCAUAAAAUAUUUUCAGAUCAAUUAAAUGAUCUUGGAAUAUAAUAUUUGCUGGCCAAAUAUUAAAUCAAAUGUACGAAAUUACGGAUAAAAUAAACGGAUAACGGUUUCUAAUAAACGGUGAACCGUUUUAUUCCAGAAACGAGAUUAUGUGUCUGUCCGUUUACUCCUUCACCGUUUGCUACAAUCGGUAAACCGUUUUAUAACAGAGAGUCCUCUAACAGUUACUCCUUAGCCGUUAAGCGUUUAAGCUUUCACCGUUACUUAUUCUUUAGCCUCUGGAAGUUACGCCUUAACCGUUUAAAUAAACGGUUAACCGUUUUUGCGAUUAUAAAAACUGUUCAAAGGUCUUUUCUUCUCCUUCUCCAGUUACCCUUUCACCGUUUUCGUCAUUGUUGCGCAGCCGAAGGUUUUUUCUGCCCUCAAACACUCAUUUUUUUUCUUGCUUUUCUUGUCAAAUCAAACCCUCAACAUCAUUUCUUAUCAAUUUUAGAACAAUUUCACCGAUUCAAAACUUCAAAUCAAGCCCAAAAUUUAAAAAUCCCAAAUUAAAACCCUAACUGCCGCGGGUCGGGUUUCUUCAUUUUUAAUCUGAUUUUUACCCUUCUUCAACCAAAUUGAACAUCCUACUCACAUCCUCUAUUCAUUCUUAAGCCAUUUAUCGAUUCAUUUUCUUCUCAUCACAUCUCUCUUGCAUUUUCCACACUUCAUUGCGUUUCUCCAUGGCUGAACCCUCUCGGAGAAAUCCCAGGCAUAAAAUAUGUGCCUCCAAGGAAUCCUAUACCACCACGGGAAGUCUCUGAAUUUUCACGCAUUCACUUCCCCACACCUUUCUUGGCCAAGCGGUUCGAAGAUCGCUUUAACGGUCGAAAGGUACUUGACUCCUUCUUUGUUGAUAUUGAUGAUUUCCGCAACUUAGUUGUAUGUGGUAGAAGCAUUAGGGAUAUGCUUCAGCCAUGGGAGGCUGCCAUUGACCUUGAUGACCUUGUUUAUCCAAAUUUAGUGUGAGUCUUUUAUUCGAAUAUGGAAAUUUUCGAUACUCGCCCAAAUAGGAUAGUUACUCAAGUUGGUCGUGUGCCAAUAGAGUUUGAUGAUGCGGAUCUAGCUGACUUUCUUGGUAUCCCUUGUGAGGGGCUUGAUAUUUACACCUCUAGGAAAACCCUUUCCUUUGACAGUUUUUCUCAUACUGAUGGCGUUCGUAAUAUAUGUCGUCGUCGAGACUUAUCGGAUGAGAUUUGUUUGCUUCCUUUUCAUUCUCAACUUUUACCUCUCCAAGUUCGUAUUCUUCACACUAUUUUACAGCACAUAGUGACACCUAGGAAGGUCACUCAGAUGAGGUUACGAGGUUGGACGUUGGCCUACUAGAUAGCCUACUUACAGACCGUCCCAUUAACCUCGGGUAUAUUAUUGUGCGGCACAUGUUGAGUACUCCCGCGGUCAAUCACCGCUUGCUUCCUUAUGGCAGUAUCAUCACUAAGAUACUGCAACGCUUUGAGGUGCCUCUUCUUGAUACUGGACAUAUGGAGACUAGACAGAUUGGUCCCGAGGCCAUGACUAGUAUCGGUUUCUCUAGGAAGAAUGAACAGUGGAUAAAGAUAAGCAACUCCAAAAACCGGGAUACCUUGAUUGCUCUAGAGGACGAUCGGAUGCUCAAUGAUAUCUAUCCUCCCGAUCAGCUUCCUGACUUUAGAUUAGGAGCUCUUCCUCAUCCUCCGUGUCGCCGUUUUGUCCCUCGGCCUCCAGCUGACUCAGACUCUGAUGAGCAUGCGAUGGAUGCUGACAUUCCCUCCUCUUCCGAGCCGCCUCCUGUUCCUGAGCCAUUUGCUGUUCCCGAGCAGCCAUCUGCCUCUAUGCCGCCUCCAGCUCCAGUUCAACCCCCUGCUUCAGACGUUGUGCAGCAGUUGAUUACUGAUGUUCAGCGGAUUUCGGAGCGCCAGCAGCUAAUUCUUGAUCAGUUGGACUCUGUUUCCUGUGACCACCAGCAGCUACAUUCUGACUUUUAGACCUUCCAGCAGCAGAGCAUUGACCAGCAGCUUGAGCUUAUCGCCGGACAGCGCACUCUUCUCCGCUAUUUUAGCUAUGAUCCGGGGAGCACAUCUUCUCCGCCUCUAUAGUUUCUGAGUUCUGUUUUCGCACAUACAUCUCAUAUUUUGGUUGUUUGCAUGUUGUCACUUCUAUUUUUUUAUACGUUGUUUCCUCUAUAUGCUCUUUCUGGAUUUUGAUGACAUAUAUUUGUGAUGCUCUUGAUGAUUGGAUGACUUGGUUAUUAGUUGAUGACAUUUGUGGUUUAUUGGCUAUUGAAGUAUUGGUUUGUUUGCUCAUGAAGUUGUUGGGUUAUUGAAAGAUGAAGUUGGUAUUAAUCUAUUUUGGAAGUGUUUUAAUCUCAUUUUGUACUAGUGGUUUUGCUCAUUUUUAAGGGGAAACUCUGCCAAAAUUUUCGCUCGCCAAAACCGGAUAACUUUUUUAAAGGAUGUGCGUCUUUUCUCUCUCUCUUUUCUUUUUGAUGAUGAAGGGGGAAAUAAUUGAGGAGAUUUAGAAUGAAUUUAAAAAUGUUUUCUUAUUUAGAAUGAAUUUUAAAAUGUUUUCUUGAGAAAAAAUUUUUUUUUGGACAUUUCUAAAUUUGGCCAUACAUUUAGGGGGAGCACAUACUAAGGGGGAGCUUAUUAUUGAUUGAAUGAAGUUUGUCAUCAUCAAAAAGGGGGAGAUUGUUAACAUGAAUAUGUUAAUAAUAUUGAUUUUGAUGAUAACAAACUUUAAAUGGUUCUUUGAUAAAAAUGUUGGAGCUAUUCCUUAAUAAACAAAACCCUUAAUAAUCAUUCCAUUCAUUUUUUCAUAAAAGAUGGACUUUCAAAUUAGAAAAAGAUUCUCUGCAGAAUUUGGUUUAAAAUGUAAUUCUGGACAUAAAUGGUAAACCGUUUUCCUUUAAACGGUUAAUCGAUUAAUACCAGAGAGCAACAUAUUGCCUAAAGCUCUAACCGUUUAUGAAAAAUGAAAAACACAAAAGAUGGGAAGGCUACUGGAACUUAACGGUGAACCGUUUAUAUUUAAACGGUUAACCGAUAACAUCCAGAAUCAUUGAUUAACAAAACCGGUUAAGGCUGAAUUGUUUUGCAGGUUACUGGAGACAAACGGCGAACCGUUUAUUACAAACGGCGAACCGUUUAUUACAAACGGCGAACCGUUUAUUACAAACGGUUAACCUAUAACAUCCAGAGAAGUCACUUCAUGCAAAUCCUUAACCGUUUAAUAUAAACGGAUAUUAAGACUGAAUUGUUUUGCAGGUUACCAGAAACAAACGGCGAACCGUUUAUUACAAACGGUUAACCAAUAACAUCCAGAGAAGUCACUUCAUGCAAAUCCUUAACCUUUUAUUGUAAACGGAUAACUGAUGUUCAUCUUGCAGGUCCCUGGAAAUUAACGGCGAAAGGUUAAUCCUAAAUGGCAAACCGUUUAUUUGAAAUUUGGCCUAACAGUUACUUUUGACCAGCCUAAACGGUUAACCGUUAAUAGUUAACGGCGAACCGUUUUUGGGCCGACAGUUUGUAACGGCUAGUUUUUUAGCUCCAAAUAUAAAUAAGCUCAUUCAAAUUCAAAGAAGAUUGAUCACAACACGACCAUUAAGCUAAUAUUCAAGAAUACAAUCUUCAUAGAGCUUAGAACACAUUCUUGCUUCAUCUAUUCACAUAUUAAGCAUCAUUGUGUAAUCCUAUAUAUUGUGAGAGGCAAAUCAAUUUGUAAUCUUUUACUUUGAGUGAUUGUAAGUGUUGGGAUACACUUGGGUUAAGAGAUUGGGGAUAAUCUCUUGUUGUAAAGGUUUAUUGACACCUUGGAAGUCAAGUGUAAGCAUUUGAAGCCUUGGAGGCUUGCUUAGUAGAAUCCUCAAGCCCGGGAAGCUUGGAGGCGUGGACGUAGGCGAGGUUGGCCGAACCACGUGAAAAUCUCUGUGUUUGAAUCCCUCUUCCCUUAUCUUUUUAUAUUGUGAUCAACUUAAUUGUUAUUGCUUUGAAUUUGGAUUAUAUUUGCAUUAAGUUUUUCUUUAUAAAUUGAAUAAUUUUUAGAAUCCCAAUUCACCCCCCCCUCUUGGGUUGCAUACUUGUAUUUCAAUGUGACCGUUCGACUUCCAAGCAUCCAUGAAUCCUUGUUGCUAGGCUUUGGAAUCCUUGACGACCUCCGCGGCGUGCCAGGGACGUAAUAAGGUUACUUACCCAUCUGCAUUCUAAAAGAAGCAAUAAAAAGAUAGAUGAAAGCCAAUAGUAAAAAUGAAUAAAAUCAGUGAGAUAUUUAGAAAUAAGGUUUCAAAUCUCCAUCGGUGGUGAGUUCUACCAGCUAAAUCAUGACAACCAACACCGAAAUCAGCCAAAACGUCUGCUACAUAGACAAUAUACAAAUGUAAAUGCUCAAAUUAAAGAGAAUUUAUGCAAGAAGGCUUUGGGGAUUUUUUUUCCUCCAUAUUUUGCAGCACUAUGAUGGCCAUGAUAUUUACCAUAUUUUCAUGAAAUAAUGGCAAAGCUCUUGGCUCAUAAUUGACUUAAUUGAGAAGCUUCAAAAUCAUAUCUCAAGGAUCCUUAUGUGACCCUCAUAUUUUUUUUAAAUGCACCUGAAGCAUCUACAGGGCAGUAGUGGCCACCCAUUCACAAUUAUUAUUAUGUAUAUAACCACAGUUAUUGGUUAAUCAGUGAGCCAUCGGACCCAUGCAAGCUCUCCCGUUAUUCACGUAAUUGAACUAUAGACCUUAAUCCGUCUUCUACCACUCAACAAUUAAACAUCAGCCGUUGAUGCCUCAUCCACUAACCCCGUUGUCACCGAUGGCUACUUGAAUUUAUAUGUAUUUUCAUAAUAUAAACAAUUGCUAAUCAUAUAUAUUGUGUUAUACCUUACUGGAAGCAACCACAAUCAAAAGACUAGCAAAAGCUCCUUAAUUACUUGCGCAGAAGCUAGCAGAGAUAUUUUCUGAUUUGAAGAACAUGGAGACUGUUUAUGCAAGUAAUUCAUCAGGCCAUAUUAAGUUGAAUUGCAUUUAUAAUUCGUACAUUAAUAUAUGCCUUUACGAACAGGUUUUCUGAUUUGAAAUUUUCAGGCAAUAAGGAAUGGUUGGAGGCUAGCAUCGCUCCAUUUCAUGGCUGUAUGAUUGAUGAUGGGAUUGGAAAUAACAAUCUUGAUCUCCUUGUAGCCCCUCAAUAUGGAAGAAACCCUGAUGAAUCUGGUUAAGGGCAGUGUUAAAGUAAAAGGAUGUCAUGGGCACCAUAGCCAGUAAAUUGUGUGAGUGCAGUUCGGUUUGCUUCAUUCCGAAUAAUAAGAUCUCUUAGAAUAUACAAGAGAUUUUCUUGUUCACAUCUAUGAACUUUGUUUUCUUUGAACUAAAUAAAUAAAACUGCUGUGUGUCAGUUUGCUAUUCAAAUUAAUCAUGAUUAUGCUCUCUCUUCUUAAAUACCUUUUGCUACAAACUGCAUUUACUAAUUUAAAUAGUGUUAGUGAUUCCUCCAAUGAUGCAGUUUCUUCACUCUCAAUCAAUAAAAAAAAUGAGAUUGGUACUAACCUUUUUCUUUUUAAAAAAAUAAACCUUGCAAAUCAAGGAAAACUUUUUUUUUAAAAAUAAAAAUAAAAAGCAUAAAAAACCAAUACAGGUCGGGCGGACGAAAUAAGCCUGACCCUUAAAAAGCUGCAUAGUGCUAAAAUAAAUGAAGAACCAAGGCUCUGUAAAAGAAGCAACCAAAAAAGAGAGAUGAGAGCCAAAAUCAAAAAAGAAGAAAGCCAUUGAAAUCUAUAGUUGGGGAAACCAUUAGCAUCUUUAUAAAUAACGCUUCCAGUUUCAACUGGCGGUGAGCUCCAUCAGCUAAAUUGUGACAAUUGACACUAAAAUCAGCCAAAGUGACUACAACAUUAUUGUUCUCUCGGUAUGUGAGGGAAAAGAAAUUAAAAACUCAUUAAAAAGUCAUACCCUACUAUCGUGCAAAACAAUUAUGACAAUUGUAUCACUGACUGCAAGGAGUCCAUCAUUUCAAUAAUUUCUUUUUCUGAAAAAUGCCAUUUCAAUAAUUUAAUGCUACAGCCAAAUAAUUUAUGUUUAUCCUUGAUUGGUACAUGAAUUAUUUUAUUGGUGAGAUUAUUUGUAUUUGAAAAAUUAUUCUGAAAAUUUAAUUUUUUUAAAAAAGUUAAAUUCUUUGAAUACCUAAUAUAUAAAUUAUUGUAAAGGACAAUUCUGUGUAACAUAAAAGAGUUUUCAUCUAUUUUUCAUUUAAGUUAGAUUUAAUGGAUUCCAAGAAAUCCUACCACUUUUAUCUGUAGCAAGAAAGGCAUUAACUCCUUUUUCUCUUACUUAAGGUGUUAUACUGGCAAGUUAAGAACAAACCAUUCAUUUGAUAUCUGAAUUCUUUUCCAACUUCAUUGAUAUUUAUAAGAACUGUUAAGAAAAGGAUGAAAAUGGCGCUCGAUUAAUAACCAAGAUUUGGCCAAACAAAAACAAGAAUAGAGAUAAACCAAACACCAAAAAGAAAACAAUGAAGAAGAUUUACGUGGUUCGGUACCAAGGUACCUACAUCCACGGCUGAAGAACCCAAAUGCGUGUAAAGCUUUAUUGCUUAAGAUUGAUUACAGCUAGACUACAAGUGACAGAGAACAAAUCUCUUUUUACCAAGAAUCCUAACUCUCAGUAGUAGCCAAUAAACUCAAUUGAAAAGAAUGCCCCGUGAUUAGCCUCUCCUCUGUGUUUUAUAUAGGUCCUGGUCAUAACGAAUUUACCACAUGCUGGCACACAAUAAGCUGACUCACCGUGCCACCUCAUCAGUAACUAAACAGAAUGUAACUAACUUUCGGCUUCACAAAUCUCCACCUUAGUUCAUUCUGAAACAACUUCACCUACCUCUUCAACAACUACUAACUCGGUUUACAAGCUAUCAACACCAAUCAAGUUCAGAGAGUUUCUAAACUUGACUGCAGGGACUGCUUUAGUUAAAAUAUUUGCUGGAUUAGUCUGAGUAGGAACCUUGACAACAUUAACUACACCAUUUGCAAUUUCAUCCCUGACAAAAUGCAACUUAACAUCAAUGUGUUUUGUUCUUUCAUGAUAUUUAGGAUUCUUACUAAGCUGAAUUGCACUGGAGCUGUCACAGCAAUGCAAACCGAAUCCUGUUUCAACCCAAACUCAGAAACUAAUCCACUUAGCCACUUUGCCUCUUUUACUACUUCUGUCAAUGCAAUGUACUCAGCCUUAGUUGUGGAUAAAGCAACCACCGACUGAAGAGAUGCUUUCCAACUCACUGCCCCUCCAUUUAAAAUGAAAACCUAUCCUAUAAUAGACCUUCUCUUGUCCAGAUACCUUAACAACCACUUAACAUCAUUCUAAUGUUCCCUUCCUGAAUUCCUCAUAAACCUGCUAACAACCAUUACACCAUGAGCUAUGUCAGGUCUUGUACAAACUAUAGAAUACAUAAUGCUGCCAACUGCACUUGAAUAGGGCACUGUCUUCAUAUACUCAAGGUCUUGAUCCUCUUCUGGUUCCUGAAGCUUUGACAAUCUGAAAUGUGCUGACAGAGGUACUGACACAGACUUUGCACCACUCAUCUCAAAUCUACUAAGGACCCUUUUAACAUACACAGCUUGAGUAAGAAACAAGGUUCUCAAAUUUCUGUCCCUCACAAUUUGCAUUCCCAGAAUUCUUGUAGCAGUCCCCAAAUCUUUUAUUUCAAAUGCAAAAUUCAACUCCAUUUUUAGCCUUUCAAUCUCCUCUCUCAUUUUGUAUGUAAUAAGCAUGUCAUUAACAUAAAGAAUGAGGUAAAUACCAUCUCCAGAAGAUAAAGUUUUAAAAUACAAGCAACUAUCAUAUUGGCUUCUGCAAUAUCCAUGGCUGAUCAUGAACUCAUCGAACCUCAAAUACCACUGCCUUGGAGACUAUUUCAGCCCAUAAAAGCUCUUCUUCAACAAGCAUACCAUAUCUUCAGUCCCUUCUUCAAUGAACCCCUCAGGCUGAUCCAUAAGAAUUUCUUCUUCAAGACUCCCAUGUAAGAAGGCAGUCUUUACAUCCAUUUGAUCUAAUUCCAGGUCUUUAAAUGUUGUUAUUACUCAUACAACUCUUAUGGAAUUAUAUUUGACAACAGGGGAGAAUACCUCAUUAAAGUCCACUCCAUGCUUUUGUGUGAACCCCUUUGCUACAAGUCUUGUCUUAUACUUGGGAGGCUCACCAUCAGCAGUCCCUUCUUUAAUUUUAUAGAUCCAUUUUUAUCUUAAGGUUUUGUCUUGAGGCUCACCAUCAACCUCAAGAUAAAAAGGCUCACUAUCAGCCUUUUAUCUUGAGAUUUCUUGACCAAAAUCCAUGUGUUAUUCUUCUUUAGUGAGAUGAUUUCUUCAUUCAUGGCAUCCAGCCAUUUUGCUCUAUUUUACUGCUCGUAGCUUGUUUGUAGUUUAUAGGCUCUUCACCAAUAACUUCCUUAGCUAUUGCCACAACAUAAGAGAUCAUAUCAGCUAUGCCAUACCUUUUGGAUAACUUAAUGAAUCUCAUUUCCCUAUCUCUUGUAAGCUUAUAAUCAUGUGUUUGAGAAGUGAUGUGUGUUUUCUGAUAAGACUUGGAAUCCCUUUCUGCAGCUCUUUUAUCUUCACUUGACUCCACCUCAAAGUUGUGUUCCUUAUCCUCAUUUGAAUCAUAUGUAAUGAGCUCUAUUUCUACUCUCUUAUGUAGCAUAAACUCUUCAUCAAACACAACAUCUCGGCUAAUAAGAGUUCUUGUAGGUUUGCCAUCUAUGCACCAAAGCUUAUAUCCUUUGACACCCUCUAGAUAUCCUAUGAAGUAACCCUUAACAGCUUUUGGCUUUAACUUUCCCUAGUUUAUGUGAGCAUAAGUAAGGCAGCCAAAAACCCUGAGGUUGCUAAGAUCUGGAGGCUUUCCUGACCAAACUCCCUGAGGAGUCUUGAAAUACAGGGCUGCUGAAGGGCUCCUAUUGACUAAGUAAGUUGCAGUGGUAACAGCUUCUACCCAGAAGUGUUUUGAAAGGUUUGCAUUAAACAACAUGCACCUUACCUUUUCAACUAAUGUCCUAUUCAUCCUUUCAGCUAACCCAUUUUGCUGCGGUGUGUGCCUUUAGUUUUGUGCCUGACUAUCCCUUUCUUGAUGUAGAGUUGAUCAAAAUCAUUGCAGCAAUACUUAAGCCCAUUAUCUGUCCUUAGCCUCUCCACCCUCCUCUCUAUUUGAUUUUCUAUUAAAGUCAGCCAUUCUUUAAACUUUUCAAAAACCUCAUUCUUCUGCUUCAGUAAUAUACCCAGACUUUCCUUGAAAAGUCAUCAAUAAAAGUAAUAAAGUAUUUGGCUUCUCUAUAAGAAGGAACCUGAGAGGGCCCCCACAGGUCUGAAUGGAUAUAAUCCAUUGUAUUUUUAGUCUCUUGUUUUCCUAGAUUAAACUUCUGCCUAGUUGCUUUACCAAACACACACUUUUCACAGAAUUCAAGUGCUGAAAUUUGGUCAGUUCCUAGUAAUCCUUAUUUACUCAACUCUUUUAAUCCUUUCUCACUCAUGUGUGCUAGUCUCAUGUGCCAAAGCCUGGUUUUAUCACUACUUACAUUGGUAAUAAAAUCAGGUAACACAACUGAGCCAUUAAGCACAUACAAUCCAUUUCUCCUACUACUUUUCAUUAUGACUGUACCACCUUUAAGGAUCUGAAGUUACCAUUUUCUGCCCUUAUAUAGCAGCCCAAUUGGUCUAUCAUUCCUAAAGAUAUGAGGUUUCUUUUAAGCUUUGGAACAUAUCUUACUUGUUCCAAACUUCUGACUGUACCAUCAUACAUUUUAAUAAUAACAUACCCUAUUCCAGCAACUUUACAGGCUAGAUUAUUCCCAAGCAAAACUUUACCACCAUCAACAUUUUCAAAAGUCACAAAGAAAUCUUUAUAUGGGCACAUAUGGAAAGAACACCCUGAGUCAAGUAUCCACUCACCAAAAGAUUUCUUAUCUACUACAAUAAGAAUAUACUUAUCUUCUGAUUCUCCUUCAUCUACAAAUAUAAUAUCAGCUUUCCCACUUGAUUCUUUCUGUAACUUUUCAAGCUUCUUUUUUUCAAAACAGUCUUUUAUAUAAUGCCCUUCCUUUUGACAGAAGUAACAUUUCCUUUUCUUUUUCUUCUUGUCAGUCUUUUCUUUCUGAUUUUUAUUCUUCUUGUCUUUGUUCACCUUUUUUCUCUGUCUUUGCUUUGGCAACUAAUACAUCCCCAACAAUAUGAUCCUUGCCAUCUGCUCUCCUUUUCAAGUCUUUUGAUUCAAGAGCAUUCUUGACAUCUUUCAAGGUGAGAGUCUGUCUUCCAUGGAGCAAAGUGUCCAUGAAAUGUUCAUAGGUGUCCGGUAAUGAGCUUAACAGGAUAAGAACCAUAUCUUCAUCAUCAAGUAUGAUGCUGACAUUUUCAAAAUCGAGUAUCAGUUUAUUUAACUCAUCAAGAUGAUCCUUCAUGAUUGUGCCCUCCUUUAUUGAAAAUGUGUAGAGCUUCAUUUUUAUGUAUAAUCUUUUAGCUAGAGAUUUCUUUAAGAAAAUUUCUUCCAACUUCGCCCACAACCCAGAGGCAGUCUUCUCUUUGGCUACUUCUCUCAACACCUCAUCAGAUAGGUGGAGUAUAAUUGUGCUGUGAGCUUUGUUGUUUUUGGUCCUCAAGUUUCCAUCUGAACCUGACGAACCUUCCUCCUUUUCUUUCUUGGACUUUGAUUCAUCAUCAUCAUCGAGGGCACUAUCUAAGCCUUGUUGAAUCAAGAUGGCUCUCAUUUCAGACUCCAUAAGUAGAAAUCGUUUGCACCAUUAAACUUUUCAAGAUCAAACCUAGUGGCUGCCAUUCUUGAAGAUCAAGAACAGAGAGUUUAUUAGCUCUGAUACCAGUUUGUUAAGAAAAAGAUGAACAAAGAUAAACCAAGAUUUGGCCAAACAAAAACAAGAACAGAGAUAAACCAAACACCAAAAAGAAAAGCUUUAUUGCUUAAGAUUGAUUACAACGAGACAACAAGUGACAGAGAACAAAUCUCUUUUAACCAAGAAUCCGAACUCUCAGUAUUAGCCACUAAACUCAAUCGCAAAGAAUGCCCCGUGAUCAGCCUCUCCUCUGUGUUUUAAACAGCUCCUAGUCAUAAUGAAUUUACCACAUGCUGGCCCACAAUAAGCUGACUCACCGUGCCACCUCAUCAGUAGCUAAACAUAAUGUAACUAACUUUCAGCUUCACAAGAACAAAAAAAAAAAAUUGUCUGAUUAGCUUCUGGUUCAUGAUGAUAGAGUAUUGAUGAAAAAUUUGUUGAAGUGAGUGUCCUCUAAUAGCCACGCUGAUUAAUUAAGAUGCAAGAAAAAUUACUCAUUGUCUAUUAUUGAAUAAAUUUUAAUUCUUAUUUGAUAAUUUUUUUAAAAAAUUUUGAUCAAUUGUUAGUUGGUUGUCGAGAGAGAAUAUAAAGGUAAAGUGAAAAGAGAUUUAAUUUAGGAUAAUUUUGUUAUUUCUAAGAAAGUAUGUUGAGUAAAAACUUAUUUUUAGAAUUUGCAAUAGGUCUCUUUUGAGUAAAAACUUAAUUUUAGAAUUUUCAAUAGGUCUCUUGAGUGAAACAGUAUUCUAAGUGUGAAAACUAUAGGCAAACGAUAUCGAAAAUGUAAAUCCACUCUCGUAUUAUUCAAGUGGCGAGCUCAAAGACCAAGUUAUACAAGAAAGUAGAUGACGUAAAAGGAACGUAUCAAUCACCAUGAUUUGAGGUUUUUUCCUCAUAUUUGCAAUAUAAUGUCAAUGGCCGUGAUAUUUACCAUAUUUACAUGAAAUAAUGGCAAAGGUCUUGGCUCAUAAUUGAUUUAAUUGAGAAGCUUUAAGAUCAUAUCUCAAGAAUCCUAAUGUGAUCCUCCUUAUUUUAUUAAUGCACCUGAAGCAUCUGCAUGGCAAUAGUGGGCACCCAUUCACAAUUAUUAUUCGGAACUUAACUGCAUUAUUGGUUAAUCAGUGAUCCAUUGGACCUCUGCAUAAUUGAACGAUAGCUGUUAAUCCGUCUUUUACCAAUCUACAAUUACAUAUCGGUGGGCGGAACCAAUAUUUUAGUUUGUAAUUGCCGUGAUAUUUUACAAGUUACGAGUUUUCUUGAAAAUUUAAUUUAAGGCCACCGAAAUGUAUCACAAAUGACAAGUUUCCUUAAUUUUUUUUCCUUAUAUUUCAUAAAUUUUCAAAAAGUUCGCAACCAUCAACUUGUACAUCGUUCCGACUAUGAUCAUCAACUUACCCCGUUGUCCCCCAGAGCUACUUGAAGUUAUAUGUAUUUUUAUAUCAUAAAUUAUUUCCAGUGACAUGUUAUGUGUUUCAUGUCGGCUUCUAGUGUCUAUAUAUUAUGUUGUGUAUCACAGGUAUUUCAUUGGGACAAGUUAAGUUUUUAAUUCCUUUUAUAAUUCAUAUAUAAAUACAUGCAUUUAUGAAUAAGGAUUUGAAAUUUUUAAUGUUCGGAGAUUAGCAUUACUCCUUUAUUUCAUGGUUGUGUAAUUGAUGAUGGGGAGGCAAAUGAGAAUCUUGAGAGAAAUCGUGACGAGUCUGGUUAAGUGGAGUGCUAUUCUUUUGUGUUAUAUUUUAUUAUAUAAAAGGAUACAAUGAGUCGUAUUACAUGUCCAUUGUGUGAGUGCAUGUCGGUUUACUUCAAUUAUAUAUAUAAGAUAUUUUCUUGUUCACAUCUAUGUAUGUUAUUUUCCUUAAACUAAAUAAUUAAUACCCAGAUGGGUAAAUGAUCUAAUUACCACCCUUCUUUUUUUUUAGGAGUUCAAAAAUACUAUGAUGGCUCCGUUGUUUUAUAUAUUUAUUUCUUUUGUGAUUCAGCAAUCCCAAAGUUUGUUUUCUUUUUUCAAAUCAAAUAAAAAAAGAAAUAAAUCAAAAAUAAUCUUCUUUUUUUUUCGUACUCUUUCAUACCAUAAAUCUUGUUAAUUGUUAAGAACAUUCUGGCGUGAAAAAGGUGUGUGGCAUUGCAAUAGGCCUCCGAUAGGUAAGAUAAACUCGGAAUAUCCCUUCUUUAUCUAAUACUAUUGCUUCGAUACAUAAUCAAAUAUUUUGAAAAAAAAAAAACACUAACAAUUUUCAUAUCGAAUUCGAAGUGCCAUGCUAUUAUUACUUAAUAUUAAGAAUUCAUAUGGCGAAGGCAUAGUCUUCUUUUUUCUCUCUCAAUUUAUUGUGAGUCACUAAAUAUCAGUUUGUUGUUUAAGUUACUCAUGAUUAUGCUCAAUCUUCUUGAAUACUUUUUUCAAACAAACCUCAUAUGUUGGUUUAUUAAUUAAAUACUGUUAGUUAAUCCUCUUCAGUUAUUUGUGGUUUCUUCACACUCAAUCUUUAAGGAUAAAAAAAAAGAGAUUAAGCCUCCUCUUGAGAUUAAGGUUGAAAUGCUAUAAGCAAUUUAUUUCAUAAGUUUUUGACAAAAAUAGUGUUUGGUAAUUUUUUUUAAAACUAUUUAUUUCAUAAGUUUUUGCAAUUUGACUGAAACUUUUAAAAAUAGAUAAAAUGUUUUUUUUUAUAAACAACUUAUUAAAUAAGACAUCACACAUUUUUAAAAUUCCUAUUAUAACCUUAAUAAUUUAAUUAAAAGAGGCAAUAAUGCUAUGAUUACUCAGUUUUGAUACUUAGGACUUGUGUGUCUAAAGUCUUAGUUUGACUUAAGUUAAGAUGUUUUGGUAUUUUUGCUUGUUUGUUUUUAUAUCUGAAGUUUGUUUUAAAAAAAUUUCAUUCGAAUGAAAUAGGGCAACCGAAAGCAUGUGGUGCACAUCCUCCAUUUUUGGUAACUUUAGAUCGCAAUCUGUUAGUUAUUUCGCACAAAAUUUAGUCUGUCAUUGCUCCAGGAUUGCUACAGCAACGGCUAUAACAUCUUCACAUUUUCAAACUUGUUUUACUUCUUCUGCAGCCAAGUUAUUCUGCCAUCUUUGCAGGUGUGUUGCAGCCGCUUUCCAUCCCCGAAAAUUGAGCUUUGUAGUUACAUACAAUCAUGCAUAUAAUCUAAGCACAAGAUGAUCUAAAACAAAUUCAAUUUAUUAAAAAUAAAAUAAAAUGGAUGCUCAUGCAAAAUGUAAGUAAAAUGCGAUAAAAACACAUCAUUUACUCUCACAGUAUUAUUGAUUUAAGUUUAAAAGUACCAUGAUAACUCUCAUUCCAUAGAGCUGUCAUCUGACUCUCACUCAAAGUCUGCUCUGUAUUAGAGACCUCACUAGAAUCAAUGUUGUUCAACUCAUUUUCUCUAGAUGAGGUUGAAGCCUCAGGAGACAUUCUCCUAAUGUUGUCUCUAACACUGAUAUCACCUAUAGCUUCUAGGGGAAUUUUCGGGACGAAAACAUGUUUCCUAAAUAAACUAGGCAAAAACUCUAGUUCAUCAUCAUCAAUCUCAUUCACUUUCUCUCUACCGUUUGACAUUUUUCAAAUAAGCCUAAAGCUAGUACCAAAAGACCCACAAAGCCAAGGAAAAAUAUUAAAAUUCCCAGUGAUGAAGUGCCAAAAAAAAAAAAAAGAACCUGAGGCGAGGAAAGAUUAGAACUAAGGCAACAUUUACGGCUUGUUCCCCAGUGAGAUAAAACGGCUUGGUAAUUGGAAAAAGCCAAAGAGAAAAAUAAGAAAGAUGAAGUGAUUUGGGAAAUUAGGAAUUUUAAGAAAAUGGAAGGUUUUAAUCAGCGUGUCAUUUAAGAACGUGUGCCUCGAGGGUGCUAUAACUGCUCGUUCGAAAUUUAAAUGCCUACCCCAACGUGUGCCACAUCACAUGUAUUUAAAUCAAUGCGACCACUUGAGUGAAUAUAUGCCCACCGGUCAGGAAAGUGAAAAAUACUUUUAGCAGCCUCCUAUUAUAAGAGUCGAGUAGCCAGACUGGUCAAUGAAGUUUAUUAAGUUUUUAGUUUUGAUUCGUUUCACUCUCAGCACUAGAAACUGGAGGACUGGUCUUUGGCUGAUAAAGAGGCCAUUGUUGAAUAUUCACUCGAGCAUAAUGUGCUCUCCACGGUAACAAUUCCUUGAGAAGGGGAACAUCUAGUCGAGUAUGUGUGGUUAGCUAAGGUACUUUCGAGAAGAGGACGAGUCAGGUCAAUUCAAAGACCUAAUCAAAGGGGCGACCAGCAUGUCCCCACGAAGAAUCCAGGUACGAAGCCCAUUUACUAGUAAUUACACUGCCCACUCAUCAACGGUUACACACUUUCUAUUUACCCAUGAUUGCACUUUUGAGCCAACAAUGAUCGUGGGGGAGAGGAAGCUGAUAACACCAGUUUGGUAUAUAAGGUACAGAGGACUGAGGUAAAAGGAUUAUACAUUUUGUCACUUGAAUCUCUAGAACUUACUCUCCCUCUAUUUUUCAAUUUCUCUCAAUUAUCUUACUUUCUUCCUCAGAAUUAAUUCUUUUUAUUUAAAACAAUUGUAAUUAGGUCACGUGAUUGGUGGCACAAGUUUUUCUAAGUAAACCUAGAUUACUGAUUUGAGCGUUGGAGAGUUUAUGUUGGAAAGACCUCUGGUGUUCCCUAACUGGUUAUUGUGAACAAAGGCGUCUUAGGAGGAAGAGUUCGAGGUUGCAAGAGACCGUUCGAUAAGAAAGAAAAAAGAGCACGACCGUCUUCCCAACAACUACAAAUUUAAGUGUUGGCGUGAUUGUCUGGUUGCUACGCAACCUGACCAAAAUUCAACAUCAACAAUAUCAGUUUACCUAAUACUUCAUUCUUCAUUUGUUUGCCAGAUCAUAUGGAAGUAGCUUUGUGGUUUUUUGCUAAAAUCUUCCAGCUCUAUUCCUUCCAUUUUAUCAUAUUUUUGUUGCUGCUCUAAUUUUUUUCCUUACUACUUAAAAUUAAAUAUCCUUAAUUGCAUGCUUGUCUCAGCAUAAUGUCACCAUUGCCAUACUGAUAGUCUAGUCACUGGCUUACUGAUUCAAGGAAAAACAUACUGCUUUUUUAAGUGUUGUUUCGAGGUUAUGAUAUAUAAUUCUUGACUAGCCCUUUGGAAGUUGUGGUACCAUGGUUGAAGAAGUAAAUGAAUCGAGAAAGAAAUUAAUAUUAACGUAAGCCUUGCCGGUAGGACUAAGAAGGAAAGAAAGUGAUAAGAUUCCUUCGUUAAUGCCAAAAGAUCAGCCAACAAAUUAUAAAUCAUAUCUUCAAUCAGCAAAAGCAUCUCAUCAAAGCUACUUAUAUUAAAGACUCCUUGACAAGCUCUCAAACAGUCAUAAUAUCUCAUAAUUUAAUCAUUUUAAUAGAAGGUUCAUAAACUGACGUAAUUAUGUCAUUUCCUAGUUGCUACCUUCUCUUUGUAUAUAAAUUAGAAUUGUAAUCAUCACUAAGGUGUGUGCAAUAACAUAUUUCUUUUGCAAUUAUCUUGCAUAUUAUUUCUUUAUGGUAUCAGAGCUAGCUAUGGCUAACACCUUUUAAAUUGAGCCCAAACUCACCAUCCAAUCCUUCCACCAAUGCUCUAGCCUAUUAUCUAUCAAGCUUUCGAUGAAUAAUUUUCUUCUCUAGAGGUCACAAGUGCUUCCUCUUAUAAGAAGCCUUGGCCUAGAACAUCAUAUUCAUGAUGAGGCAACUCCAACGAAGAUGAUAAAUAUAGAUGGAAAAGAGGCUAGUAAUCUUGAAUUUUUGUCUUGGAAAAAUAAUGAUGGAUUACUUAUGACUUGGUUGAGAGGGAUGAUGUGUGAAGAUGUUUUAAGUUUAAUUGUUGGAGGAGAAACUUCUCGUGAAGUUUGGUUAUCUAUUGAAGAUCAAAUUUUGCCAGCUACCAAAGAGCAAGAAUCAUGGCUAAAGAUAAUAUGUACUCAAUCAAGAAGGGCAACAUACCCAUUGAUGAAUUUCUAAGAAAAUUCAAGAACCUUUAUGAUAACCUUGCUGCCAUAGGAAAACCGAUCCCAGACGAUGACAAGGUCUUCCAAAUUGCUAGAGCUCUUGGUCCAAAAUAUGCCGAUUUCAAAACGGCAAUGCUUGCUAAAACACCACUGCCCACCUUUAAGCAAUUCAUCCUUGCUCUUCAGAAUCACGAGCAAACUGUUGUUGUUCACAAGGAGGAAGAAAUAUCCAUUCUGGAUCAUAAUCAAGCCUUCUUUAGACAAAGAGGGAGAGGCCGAAAUCAAAGGGGAGGCAGACAUGGAGGUUGCAGUAGAGGUUCACAACAAAAUAAUGGAUCGAAAAAUGCUCAAAGCAACCAGCAGCAUCAACCACGACAGAAAAAUAAUAUUGAAACUAACAAAACAAAUCAGCAGAAUGUGAUUUAUUGUAAAAUCUGUGGUAAGAAAGGUUACUCAGCCGCUGUUUGUUGGGACAUGUAUAAAUAUUAUGAGGAUGAGGUUCCACAAGCCCUUGCGACUGUCAACUUGAACCAAAUUGACGAUCAAAUUUACGCUGACUCAGGGGCAACCUCUCACAUAAUCAACAAUCCAGGUAAAUUAAAGACAAUCGUUCCUUACAAAGGCCAUGAUAAAAUCUUUGUAGAGAAUGGACAAGGUCUUCAAAUAUCUCAUAUUGGUAAUACCUCUUUAAAAACUGAUUAUGGAGAUUUACAUUUGAAAAACGUUCUUGUGGUUCCAAAAAUUAAAAAAAAUCUCCUGUCAGUUGGACAACUUGCUAAUGAUUCUCAAUGUUCUUUUGUGUUUAAUUCUGAUAGUUUUUUUUUGUCAAGAAACAAAACCAAGUGGUAGCAAGGGGGCAUAAGAAAGGCAAACUAUAUGCACUGGAUGAAGUAAAUGAAACAGCUCUAAGCGCAAUAAGAGGAAAUACCACAGAAUCAAAUUUGUGGCAUAUGAGACUUGGGCAUCCAAGUAUUAAAGUCCUACAAAUUCUCCAUAAUAAUAGGAAAACCAAUAUUUUCAAAUGGACAAAAAUACCAAAAAUUUGUGUAUCUUGUCAAUUAGGAAAGAGUUGUAAAAUUCCUUUUUCUACUUCUAAUAAAAUCUCGAUUGUUCAUUUGCAUAAGAUACACUGUGAUUUAUGGGGUCCAGCUCCAAUUAACUCUAAUCAAAAUUUUAGAUUUUAUGCAUUAUUUAUAGAUGACCAUACAAGAUUUUCUUGGCUAUUUCCACUACAACGAAAAGCUAACUUCUUUGAUUGUUUCAUACGAUUUCAGAAACAGGUGGAAACACAAUUUGAAAGAAAGAUUAAAGUGUUUCAAUGUGACAAAUGGGGAGAAUUUUCUUCUAAUGCUUUUAUAAAGCAUCUUGAUGAUUGUGGCAUCAUAGGCAUAUUGCAGAAACAGCCUUAACUCUCAUGUUUCAUGCCUCACUUCCUCUCAAACUUUGGGCAGAUAUUUUUGUAGCCGCAACUUAUUUGAUAAAUAGGAUGCCGUUGUCUACACUUGAAAUGAAAUGUCCAUAUGAAAAACUCUUUAAAAGGACUCCUGAUUAUGCUGGAAUUAAAGUUAUUGGGUGCCAAUAUUUUCCUUAUUUAAGGAACUAUAACAAGACAAAAUUUGAUGGAAAAACUUUCCCAUGUGUUUUUAUAGGUUAUAGUUCAUUACAUAAAGGAUAUAGAUGCUUAAAUCCCAUGACUAAAAGAGUCUAUAUUUCUCGGCAUGUCAUUUUUUAUGAAACGACGUUUCCGUUUUCUAAUAAAAAUAAGUUUGUUGAAUGCAUGCAGGAACCAAGUCAACUUACAACGUUUCCAUUUUAUGAUGAAUGGCUAAAUUGUCCUAACUUAGUUAAAACCCAUGAUGUUGUGAAUCCUGCCCUUAGUCAAAAGCCACUUCCAUCUUUUCAAGAAGACCUCAUGACACCCACUCAAAUGCAAACUCCUUUGUCCAACUAUGACAGCCAUGUUAUUCGCACACUAGCUACAUUACAGGAAAAGCCAUAAGAUACUAUUGUUGCAGAAGAACAAAGCGACAACAACUUUACUGCCUCAUUAAAUGAAUCAAUUUCAGAAGAGCAAAACUGCAACAACACUGCCACUUUAUCUACCAAAGUAACCAACUCAGAUAAAAUUCAAACCGAGAACUCCUUAUCAAAUGACUUGACCAGCUUAGAUAGAACCCAGACCGAGGAUCCAUUUUCAACAAAUCAGAAAAAUUAUCCUGAUAUCUCUGGAAAGUUAUUAGUUGAUUUUUCGAGUUACACUAAAAAUCAACCAACCACCUUAUCUGACAUAUCAGGUAAUCCAAUCGUUGAUCUCACGAGACCACAACAAUUACAAACAAAUCCAUCAUCAUCUCAAAAUACUCAUUCCAUCAUAACCCGAUAAAAAACCAAAAACAAUCAUAACCUAGCGUUACAAGCCUCUCAAAACCAACCAAUUGAGCCAAAAACUUUAAAAUCGGCUCUCAAGAAUCCCAUAUGGGUUACGGCAAUGGAAGAAGAAAUUAAGGCUUUGCAUGACAAUAAUACUUGGCAUCUUAUUCUUCGUCUUAUUCACAAUAUUGUAAUAGGAUCAAAAUGGGUUUACCGGAUCAAAUACAAAGAAGAUAGGACGAUUGAUAGGUACAAGGCACGUCUCGUUACCAAGGGAUUCACACAAAUCUCAGGAGUGGACUUUGAUGAGACCUUUAGUCAUGUCGUAAAACCAACCAUUAUUCGACUGGUUAUGGCAAUUGUAGUGAGUUCAAAAUGGCCAAUGAAGCAAUUAGACGUCAAGAAUGCUUUUUUUCAUGGAAAAUUAAAAGAAACAGUGUACAUGGAAUAGCCCCCGAGUUUCAAAAAUCCUAAUCUUCCAUUAUUUGUCUGUAAACUAAACAAGUCCAUUUAUGGGUUCAAGCAAGCUCCACGCACCUGGUUUGAAUAUCUUUCUAAAGCAUUAUUUAAACUAGGCUUUGUUAAUUUUACAGGACAAGGGAGUACUCAUUUUGCUUUUGAUAUAUGUAGAUGAUGUUAUAAUAACAUAAAAUAACUCUUCUAUUAUUCAAUCGAUCAUCUAAACAUUAAGUACAAAUCUUGCACUGAAAGACCUUGGGACACUUCGGUAUUUCCUGGGGAUAGAAAUCAAAUAUUUCCAAAAUGGGGUAUUUUUAUCUCAAACUAAGUAUACACAAGAUUUACUAUCAAAGGCAAAGAUGCUUGAUUGUACUCCUUUGGAAACACCCAUGGCUAUAAAAACAACUACAAAUCUUGAGGACAGUGAACCUGUGAAUGCUACAGAAUAUCAAGGCCUAGUUGGUAGCUUACAAUAUUUGACCUUUACGAGGCCGGAUAUAACAUAUACUGUAAAUAAAGUAUGCCGGCGCUUCAAUGAUCCAACCAAGGCAGAUCUCAAAGCAGUAAAAAGGAUCCUUCAAUAUCUCAAAGGAUCAUUAAACUAUGGCAUUUGUUUUUUGUCUUAAAGUUCAUUAACACUAUACUCCUUUUCUGACUCUAAUUGGGCAGGUUGCCCUCAGACCAGACGAAGCACCACAGGCUAUUGUGUCUAUUUAGGAGCAAACUGCAUUUCUUAGAGCUCAAAGAAGCAAACUACUGUAGCGAGAUCAAGUGCCAAAGCAGAAUAUCGACCAAUGGCCACCACUGCAGCUGAGAUCACAUGGAUUCAAUUUCUUCUUCGCGAAAUUGGUCUCACAAUGAACAAGAAAACACUUCUAUUGUGCGACAGUAUGAGUGCUCUCUACAUGACCAAAAAUCAGGUCUUUCAAGCGAGGAUAAAGCAUAUCGAGCUUGACUUCCACUUUGUUCGAGAAAAGGUCGCGCGAGGAUCCAUCUUCACAAGGCAUGUACCUUCAUCACGACAAAUUGCGGAUGUGUUCACAAAACCAUUAAAAAAAUACCAAUUCCAAAACUGGCGCAACAAGUUAUGAGUCCAUCCCAUGGACAUUCCAAACUUGAGGGGGGUUGAUAAGAUUCUUUCGUUAAUGCCAAAAGAUCAGCCAACAAAUUAUAAAUCAUAUCUUCAAUCAACAAAAUCAUCUCAUCAAAGUUACUUAUAUAAAGGACUCCUUGAAAAGCUCUCAAACGGUCACAAUAUCCCAUAAUUUAAUCAUUUUAAUAGAAGGUUCCUAAAUUGACGUAAUUAUGUCCUUUCUUAGUUGAUACCUUCUCUUUGUAUAUAAAUUAGAAUUGUAAUCAUCACUAAGGUGUGUGCAAUAACAUAUUUCUUUUGCAAUUGUCUUGCAUAUUAUUUCUUUAGAAAGGACGAUACAGAAGCGUCCUUAACUAUAGCAUUAGCUUGUAUUUCAAAAUGCAAUAUGCACCAUCAGCGGUGUCUUUUUUAUUCAUGCUUGGGAAAUAGUGGUUAUUUUCCAAGGAAGAUCUGCAAGAACUCAAUAUUGUUUCUUAUGUUUUUUUGCAUAAUAUUUGCCAUGUCCUGAAAAACAAUGUUGCCUUAUUCAGGUUAUUAGUUUUGACAUAUUUGUAGAAUGUGAUGGUUUAACUCCUUGUUGCAGCUUAGUCUUAAAUUAGGACUUAAUUACAUCUCAUUUACAUUUGGGAUUUAAUAUGAAUAUGUAUUUGCAUAUACUAUUCUAUUUUACAUUUUUAUGUGCAUGUAUUGAUAUGGAUGAUCUCCCCCCCGCCCCCUUUCUAAAUUCUAUUCUGCUGUCGUCAUUCUUUUUCUCACCCUUCUAUUUAUUUAAUAACUUUUAUUACGACCUUUCUUUAGUUUUAAUUCUCAUUGGUUUAUGUAAUCUUCUCCGGAGUCAUUGAGGUUCAUAUAUAUAUAUAGAUAAAACUCUUCUUCAUAAUGAUUUUUAUUCUGACACUAAUAAAGAAAAAAGACUUUGGUUUUUUAAACAUUUCUUAAAAUAAAGAAAAGAAAUUCAAGAAACUUAUUAUGAGUUUGUAAAUUUGCAUAAAGUUCAUAUAUUAUUUUUUGAUUGGUUUGAGAUGUAUGCUUCAGAUAACAACAUUUCAUAUCCUUUUAAAGAAUCAAAUCCCAUUACUGUUAGAAAGAAAACCACUGAGUGGAACCUCUCUGGUAGUGGUAGAGUCAUAAAAUUUGAGCAUUCACCUCUUAGGAGUCUAAUCAUUGAACAUGGUGAGCCUCCUAUUGAGAUUAAAGCCUCACCCUAUAAAAUCCAUAAAGAUCCAGAAUUGGAUUUAGAUAGCAUUAUUCAACAGAAUAAUUUCUGUAAUGCUAAUCUAAACACAAUAGAAAAGCAGUUGACUAGAAUAGAAAACCAAUUCCAGAAGUCAACCAUAGUUGUUUCUCCUAUUACAUCAAAAUUGGAUUCUAAUAAAAAGCUUAAGGAGCUUAUUUUCAAACCUUUUCAGGUUUCGAAAACUAGCCAAAAGCUUGUACAAGAGUCAAAAUCAGAUUUUGCUAAAGCCAUUAAAGAACAACUAGAUAGAAUAGAAGCUUCUUCUUCCUCAUCUAGUAAAAUCCAAAUAGCCCCUGAUAGUGCCCAAUCUAGCAAAAUCGGUGUACUAGAACAAGACAAUGUUUCUAUAGCCUCUUCUGAUAUAGAAGCAUUCAAAGAAGAACCUGUUUCUAAAGCCAACAAAAUUCAUUGGGAAUUAGCCCUACCUACUGUCAAAUCUCUACAUGACCUUACCAUAGAUAACAGGCCUAGUGCAUUAAACCAAUCACGAUUUAAUGCAUCCUCUGUCUAUGAAUGGAAUAUUGGUGGUAUGUCGGAAUAUAACAUCCUAGGAUUGUUGCAACAGAUGACUAUGGCAGCUAAUGCCUAUAAAACUCAGUCGGGAACUUCUGACAAAGCCAUUGCAGAAAUUCUUAUUGCUGGUUUUACGGGUCAACUUAAAGGUUGGUGGGAUCAUCUUCUUACCAAACAACAACAAUUAGAUAUUCUUAAUUCUAUUCAAGUGGAUGAAAAUGGAGCCCCCAUUCUUGAUGAAUUCAAUAGUUCUAUUCAGGAUGCUGUUGCUACCCUGAUUCUGAGUAUAUCCCUCUAUUUCAUAGGUGACCCUUCUUAUCUUAGAGAUAAGAAUGCUGAGUUACUACAUAACUUGAGAUGUAGGAAAGUUAGUGAAUUCCAAAGUUAUAAAACCACUUUCUUCACUAGACUCUUUUUAAGAGAUGAUGCCAAUCACAUCACUUGGAAAGAGAAAUUCCUUGCAGGAUUACCUACCCUAUUAGGAGAAAAGGUUAGGAAUUCCAUCAAAGCCCUUUAUGACAACCGUAUUCCUUAUGACGAACUCACCUAUAGUGAAUUAGUCAGUUUUGUUAACAAGGAAGGUUUAAAGAUUUGUCAAGAUUUGAAACUUCAAAAACGUCUAAAAUGGGAGCUUAGGAAAUCUAAACAAGAAUUAGGCAGUUUCUGUAAGCAAUUCAAUUGUGACCCCUUUAAAACUUCUAUCUCUAAAGAUUGUAAUGGUAAGUGUUCUUCAAAACCUUACAAAAAACAUUACAAAUCCAAAAGUCAUAAAAAACCUUUCCAAGAUUUUAGAGAACCUCCUUAUAAGAAACCUUUGAGGCCUUAUAGGAAACCUAAUUUCUCUAAAAAGAAAGACUUUAGAGCCAAGCAAAAAACCCCUUUCAACUACAAAGAAGCCACAUGCUACAAAUGCGGAAAGAAAGGCCACACUGUAAAAUUUUGUAGAAUGAACAGAAAGCUCCAUGAGCUUGGCCUUGAUGAAGAAAUACUUUCUAAAGUAGCCCCUUUAUUGAUAGAGUCUUCUGACUCUGAGUCUUCCAUGACGGGAGACAGUGAACCUCUGCAGGUUGAUGAGUUAAUUGACUUAGAUACAUCUGUAUCUUAUGAUAGUGAUUCUGACCCAGAAUCCUACUUAAAGAAAAUCAAUGUGUUGACUAAGGAACAAGAAACUUUUCUUAAAUUGGUUAAACAUAUUUCUGAUCCAAAUCUUCAAAAGGAAUACCUCGAUAAGCUUUUAAAGACCUUAGAACUCAAUAAAGCAGAAACUUCUAAAACCCCAAUAAUUAAAAAAAAUACUUAUGGUCUAAUUGAAAUCUUGGACAAAAAGAAAACAAAGAAAACAACAACUCCCAAUAUCCAAGACCUUCAAAAAGAGAUUAAAGAAAUCAAACUUGAAAUAAAAGAGUUAAAAGAAAAACAAAAGAAUGAUUCAGAUACCAUUCAACUCCUUUUACAAAAAUAAUUAGAAGACAAUUCUUAUAAAGAAGUUGAAUCUGAUGGUGAUAAUGAACAAAACCUUGAAAACAUUGAAUCUGUACCCAAUGACAUUUUAUUUGUCUUAAAGCAAAUUACCACUCGAAAGUAUCUGAUUAAAAUCACUUUAAUUCUUUCUAAAGACUUUGAAAUUGACACCAUUGCCCUUUUUGAUACUGGUGCCGAUCUAAAUUGUAUUAAAGAAGACAUUGUCUCUAAAAGAUUUCAUGAAAAAACUAAUGAAAGACUUUCUGCAGCCAACAAUUCAAAAUUGAAAGUUAAAUUUAAAGUUGAAGCCUCAGUUCAUAAUAAUGGUUUUGAAUUCAGGACUUCCUUUCUUUUAACGAAUGAUAUCCAUCAUACUGUUAUAUUAGGAACUCCCUUCAUAAACCUUAUUACCCCUUAUACUGUCAAUUAUGAUAGCAUAUCCUUUAAAGCCAAGACAAAGAAACUUAUUUUUUCUUUUAUUGAAAAACCUAAAACAAGAAAUCUGAAUAUUGUUAAAGCUUGUUCUGUUUACCAUAAUCAAAUAAAUGCUCUCCUUAAAUCAAAACAAAAUGACCUAAUUUGUUUAAAAAAGGAUUUGAGUUUACAAAGAAUUGAAAAUCAAUUACAAAUAAAUUUGUAAAAAAGAAAAUCUCUGAUUUUAAAGAUCUCAUCGAAAAGGAAAUAUGUGUUGAUUUACCAUCUGCUUUUUGAAAUAGAAAACAACAUUUGGUGGAUUUGCCUUAUGAAAAUUCUUUUGAUGAAAAACAAAUUCCUACUAAAGCCUGUCCAAUCCAAAUGAAUAUGGAAUUGGAACAACACUGUAAAGAAGAAAUAAAAGACUUAGAGUCAAAAUGACUCAUUGUAAAAUCUAGAUCUCUAUGGUCUUGUGCCGCUUUCUAUGUCAACAAAAAUUCUGAAAUAGAAAGAGGAACACCUAGACUUGUUAUAAAUUAUAAACCUCUGAAUAAAGCAUUAAAAUGGAUUAGGUAUCCCAUACCUAAUAAAAAAGAUUUACUCCAAAAACUACAUUCUGCUUUCGUAUUUUCAAAAUUUGAUAUGAAAUCGAGAUUUUGGCAAAUUCAAAUUCAUCCUAAAGAUAGUUAUAAAACUGUUUUCACUGUUCCUUUUGGACAGUAUGAAUGGACUGUCAUGCCAUUCGGUUUGAAAAAUGCACCUUCAGAAUUUUAAAGAAUUAUGAAUGAUAUUUAUAAUCCUUUUUCUGAUUUUUGCAUUGUCUAUAUUGACGAUGUGUUAAUCUUUUCCCAAACUAAUGAACAACAUUUCAAACAUAUAAAGACCUUCUACCUUGCCACUAGAAAAGCCGGCUUAGCCAUUUCUAGUUCUAAAGUUUCCUUGUUUCAAACAAAAAUCAGGUUCCUAGGUCAUUACAUUUCCAAAGGAACCAGUACUCCUAUUGAGCGAUCUCUUAUAUUUGCUGAUAAAUUUCCUGACAAAAUUCUUGAUAAAACUCAACUGCAAAGAUUUCUAGAAAGUUUAAAUUAUGUUCUAGAUUUUUGUCCUAACAUCAACAGGAUGUCAAAACCCUUGCAUGACAGAUUAAAAAAGAAUCUUGUUGCGUGGACUGAUGAACACACUAAAGCUGUUAAACUAAUAAAAAAACUCUAUUAAAAAUAUUCCAUGUUUAUUUCUUGCUAAUCCUGCAUUGCCUAAAGUUGUUGAGAUUGAUGCAUUAGAUUUAGGUUAUGGAGGAAUAUUAAAGCAAAAAGAGAAUAAUAAAGAACAAAUAGUACAAUAUGUUUCUGCUCAUUGGAAUGAAUGUCAAAGAAAUUACUCAACUAUUAAAAAAGAGAUUCUUUCCAUUGUGUUAUGCAUUUUUAAAUUUCAAAGCAAUUUGUUAAAUCAAAAAUUUUUACUUAGAAUCGAUUGCAAAGCUGCAAAACAUGUUUUGGAAAAAUAUGUUCAAAAUAUUGCAUCAAAGCAAAUUUUUGCACGAUGGCAAGCCAUUUUAAGAGUUUUUUAUUUUGACAUUGAAUUCAUUAAAGGAGAUACAAAUUCCAUCCCAGAUUUUCUAACCAGAGAAUUUCUCCAAAACAGAUAAUGCCGCCCAAAAGAAAAGACAAGGGCAAAGCUGUUCUUAAAGACUCUGAGUCUCAAGCAACUUCCAAAGAACCCCAAUCAACCCCUUCUAAAGAAAAAUUACUUUCUUCUGCCAUGCCCAUCAAAUCUUGGAUUGAAAUGGUUGAAGAACAAGAAGCCCAAUAUAAAGCCACUACCUCUGAAGACCAGGUAAAAGAAUGGAUGAACUUCAUUACAAAGUCCCCAGAGCUUAUGCUCGCGUUACAAAAUAUUUCUCAAACUAAAGCCCUUUCUCAAGUUCCUGAGAAAGAAAAACAUGUUUCCAAAGGAAUUACAAAACCUUCUUCCUCUAAAGAAAUUGUUUCAUGUGAAAGCUCUUCUUCACAAAUUGUUAUUUCUCAAUCAAAGCUUUCACAAAAAUUAUCGGAUUGGUUUAAUAAAGCUUAUCAACAAAAUGUUUUAUCUAUAGAAGAUGGGUUUUAUCAUCUUGAUCCAUUUCAAGCAAUUUCAAAGAUUUUCCCGAAAGGCUGGUUUUUCAAACCAUGGGAUUUAUCAAAACCCCAGUCUUUCUACCAAAGCAUUCUUGAGUUCACUGAGUCAGUAAAGUUUAAACAUUUCUUCCUUAGUGAAGCUCAUUCUGAGCCAGCCUAUUCCACGGCUACCAUUCUUAAAGUCUUAAGCCCAAAUCAGUGGGGUGACCAACUCCAUAAGCCAAAAACUUUUCCCGCCAAUUUCCAAAGACGUUUAAACCAUUGCCUAACUUUCUCCUACUGGGAUUAUCAACAGGCCUGGUUUAAUUCAAAAAUAAUCGUCCAAAGCCUUCCAAAUUGGUUCCAAAUUUGGUGGAACUACUUUGGGCCCAAGCCCAGAAAUUUUAACCCCAAAUGCCAUCAAAUGUUUAAAUCUUUUUAAAGCCCAUUAUGUUCCUUCUAAGCCUGAGAAGAGGUUUCCUCCUUUUCUCUGUUUUUGUGCAAACUUUUUCCUUCCCUGGGUUUGGAUGUGGAAUUUCCAAUACCACACCAUAGACACCCAACUAGUCCUACAAAGAACCUUCAAAGUCAAAUGGUGGUCUAAAGUUGACGAAUAGUCAAAAUUAUCUGAAGCCACGAUCCAAUCCUGGCUUUCUUCAAGAGGCCUCCUUGCCCCAAGUAAAGACGUAACUAAAGCUCAAAGUACUUUCCUCGCCCAAAGGGCCAAAGCCCAAUCCUUGUUGGCUAGUGCCAAAAUCGAGGAUGAGUAUUUUAAAGUUAUGCAGCAACUUCUUGCUACAAGAUCUGAGCCAUCCGUUGCAAGUUCUUUAUCAAGCUCCUCUGGAGAAGCUGAGCCGUUCAUUUCCCUCAGAGAUGAAAACGAAGAUGACUGCUUCGGAAUAUUUUCUCCUUUAAAGCAUUAAAGCUUUGUAAAAAAAAAAAAAAAGAGUAAAGAUUGUCUUAUUUCCUUGUUGUCUUAUUUCCUUGUAGUUAUUACACUUGUAAUUAUCAAUUGAUUUUCCCUUUUGUAAUUAUCUUUUGUUAUUUUUCCUUUUGUAAUUAUCUUUUAUUUUUGGGGUGGUCCCCUGGACACAAGUGAGAGCGCACAUGUCUCUUCACCCAACUUUUGCUUUUCCCCUUAAAGUCAAAAGCACCUCCUUUAGUAAAAUCGUUUUACCAAAGCUAAAGGUCCCAGCCAUGUGAAGCUUCUCGAAAUUCUCUAAAGCUGUUGUUGCCUUUCGUGAUGUUGUCCUCUAGCUACACAUGAAGACAAAAAUCAUAAAGAAGAUGUUGUCCCUUACAUGAGCAGAAGGACCCGCUCCACCAACCUCGCAUGUGAAGCCACAGCCUCAUAAAGACUCUACAGUUUCGCUACAGACUCGCCACAGUUCAAGCUUCAGUUGUUUAAAUUCAAAGCUAUAUAAUUGUUUGAAAGAUAGAACAUUGCUUACAGAAAUCUUUUCUAAAUCUCUCUCUCUCUGGGAAAUCAGGAUCAAGACAUCAAGGAAAACUAUUCAUGUCUUGAAAUUUUCCCGUUCUACAAAAAUCUGUAAAUAAUUUUCAUUGUAAAGCUCUCGGAUCUAAGCAAUUAAUGUAAGCAUCUCUCAUUUAAUCUAUUUAAAGUUUAACUUCAAUUCAAUGCAUGUUUUAAAUUUCUGUAUUUUAUUUAAAGUUUUUAAAUUUCAUAAAACUGCUACGUUCCUCUAAGGCAAAGAGACUGGAUCUCUGUCCUUAGUUGUAUUUUCUCUUCUCCCUCCAUCUAUUCAGAAUACUAUUUCUGGGAUCCAGAUCUAGUAUUAUCUAUGAGCCUUUAGAUCUAUUACUAAGCUUGCUUAAAGAAAAUUUUUAAUAUUAUUUUGGUAUAUCGGCUGGAAAACAGAACGUGCGUGAUAUUGAUAUGUUCUAAGUCAGAUCUGGUCACAAAGGCAAAUUAAGUUCUGCAUCGAUCUGGUAACAACGCCACGUACUGAAAUAAUUCUAAAUUAUUAAUUGAAUAUUGAAGUCUAAUUUAUAAAUUUUACUAAAUUUACAUCCAUCCUUCGAUCCUAUAUUUUCCUUAUAUAUACACUUAAGGCGCUCACCAAUCCUCCCAAAAGCUUAAGUUGUUAGGAGAGGCGCUACUUUAUACUUAAGAGCACCCAGACCACCAGGUAACGUCUACACGUUUUGUGCCACAUCACCCACAUGCGUGGGGUAGGAGUCACCACAAGGGUGCGGGCCCCUAGCACACGUAGUCUGGGAUAUAUAUUAAGCCCAUUCCUCCCCCGAGGCUCGAACCCUGGAUGGCUCUAAUACCAAAAAGAAAAAGGAUCGAAGGAUGGAUGUGUUUUACAAGAAGAAAUUAUAAAUCAGAUCUCAGAAGCAAAAGAAAAUAACUAGGAUGAACAGAAUGUGCUAUGAUACGCGGUUGAUUGAUUUUAAUUAUAAUUAAAUUGGUAUGUGGCGUUUUUUCCAGAUCGAUGCAGAACUUAAUCUGCCUUUGAGACCAGAUCUGACUUAGAACAGAUCAAUAUCUCGCACGUUCUGUUUUCCAGCCGAUAUACCUAUUUAAUUAAUGCUUUACCAAAUUAUUAAGAAAAUUGAUACAAUUUUUAUGAUCGGGACGGCUUUAUCAAAUUUUAGUAGUCAAAUUUUAGAUAUUUGAAGUACGUGACUCGUUUACCGACAGUGCAGACCAGACUAACGCCUAUUCAGGAUCGCCUCUGAAAUUUACGUCGUCGAAUUCCCGUCGAUAUACUCAAAUAUUUUUACCAGCUUUAAGUAUUAAAGUUCUUUAAACAAGCCUAGCAACAACAUACAUCUAAAGGCUCAUAGAUAGUACUAGAUAUGGAUCCCAAAAAUAGUACUCUGAAUGGAUGGAGGGAGAAGAGAAAAAUACAACUGAGGAUUGAGAUCCGAUCUCGUUGCCUCAGAGGAACGUAGUAGUUGUAUGGCAGAUCUGAUACAGAUCAGUCUGCAAGUGAUGCUUUAAAAUAAAUUGUAAAAAUUUAAACUUACAUUCAAAGCUUUAAAAAAUAAAAUUACAAAUGCUUUAGAUAAAAUUGAAAAAUAAAUUGCUUAGAUUAAUUGCUUUCUUUAAAAUGCUUUAGGAAGGUUGAUCUAUAUAGAGAAGAAAGGGAAAAUUACAAGACCAGGAAAAAUUUCCUUGAGUUGUCUUGAUCCAGAUUUCCCGAGAGAGAGAGAGAGAGAGAAGAAGAAGAAAAUUGGAGAAGGAAAAAAUUCUGAGGAGUCUCAGUCUUCCUCUAGAAUAUAUACAGAAAUUUUUAAACUGUAGACUGUAUCGGAGCUGUAGCAUACAGUAAUCUUUGGAACUUUUUACUGUAGACUGUAGUGGAGCUGUAGCAUACAGUAAUCUUUGGAACUCUUCACUGUAGACUGUAGCGGAGCUGUAGCAUACAGUAAUCUUUGGAACAAGAUUAUACAAGCUUUGAAUUACUAGUAUAAUACGGGUGAAGAGACAUGUGCGCUCUCACUUGUGUCCAGAGGACCACCCAAAGAUACAUACAUAUACUUAAAAGAAAAUACAAUUGGAAAUUUCAAAAAUGAAUAUUUACCUCUUUUUUUUAACGAUAAUUACUUACAAUGCUUUAUUGGAGAGAAAAUUCCGAAACAAUCAUCUUCAUUAUCGUCUCCAAGUGAAAUGAACGGCUUUUCAUCAUCAUCAUCAUCGUCAGAGGGGUCUGCGACUGAAGACUUUGAUCGAGAGGUGAGGAGCUGCUCCAUAACUUUAAAAUAUUCUUCUUCUGUUUUGGCACUGGCCAAAAGAGAUUAGGCUUUGGAUUUUUGGGUGAGAAAGGUCUCUUGAGCUUUGACAGCCUUAGUGGUUGGAAGUAGGAAGCCUUUAGAAUAAAGCCAAUUUCGGAUUAGGGUAUCCGUUAAUUUGGUCUGUUCAUCAAAUUUUGACCACCAUUUGACUUUAAAAGUUCUUUGUAGAAUGAGCUGGGCUUUUUGGGUAUGAUAUUUGAAAUUCCACAUCCAUACCCAUGGAAGGAAGAAGUUUGUACAGAAACAGAGGAAUGGGGGAAAUCUUUUUUCUGAAUCAGAAGGGAUAUAGUGGGAUUUAAAGAGGUUUAAACAAUUUGUGGCAUUUGGAGUUAGUAUUUGAGGUAUUGGUCCAAAGAAGUUCCACCAAUGAUGAAACCAGUUUGGGAGGCUUUGAACGGUUAUUUUUGAAUUAAAGAAAAAUAACCAUUAAUGGGAUUUCUUUGGGUUUUGUAUGAAAAAUGUGUUAUACCACGCUUGUUGAUAAUCCCAAUAGGAAUAGGUCAAACAAUGUGGUAGAUGCAUUUGAAAAUUUAAAGGGAAAGUCUUUUGUUUGUGAAGUUGGUCACCCCACUAGUUUGGGCUCAAGACUUUAAGGAUAGUAGCCGUGGCGUAGGCUGGCUCAGAAUGGGAUUCACUGAGAAAGAAGUGUUUGAAUUUUACUGACUCAGUGGAUUCCAAAAUGCUUUGAUAAUAAGGCUAGCGUUUUAUCAUAUCCCAAGGUUUGAAAAACCAACCUUUGGGGAAAAACUUUGAAAUAGCUUGAAAGGGAUCAGUAUGGUAAAAACCAUCUUCCAUAGAUAAAAUGCUUUGGAAAUGGGUUUUAUCAAACCAAUCGGAAGUUUUCUUUGAAGGUGUUGGCUGGGAAAGAACAAUUUGAGAGGAUGAACUUUCACCAGAAACAACUACAUUUUGAGAAGAGAGUUUUGAAAUUUCUUUAGAAACAGAUUUUUCAACAUCUUCUUUAGGAGAAAUUUGGCUUUGAGAAAAACUUUGUAAAGCAAGCAUAAGUUCAGGGGAUUGAGAAAUGGAUUUCAUCCAUUUAUUUACCUGCUCAUGAGAGGCAAGGGCUUUAGAUUUUGAUUCUUCAUCUUCAAUCAUGUCAAUCCAAGAUUUGAUUGGCAUGGUAGAGGAAAGUAGCUUUUCUUUGCAAUCAAUUCUAAGUAAAAAUUUUUGAUUUAAUAAAUCGCUUUGAAAUUUAGAUAUGCACAAAACAAUAGAAAGAAUUUCUUUUUUUUAUAGUAGAAUAAUUUUUCUGGCAUUCAUUCGAAUGUCCAGAAACAUAUUGUACUAUCUGUUCUUUAUUAUUAUCUACUUGCUUUAAUAUGCCUCCAUAACCUAAAUCAGAUGCAUCAGUCUCAACUAUUUUAGGUAAUGCAGGAUUAGCAAGAAAUAAACAUGGGAUGCUUUUAACAGAACUCUUUAUAAGUUUAACAACUCUAGUAUGCUCAUCAGUCCAUGCAACAGGAUUUUUCUUUAACCUAUCAUGCAAUGGUUUGGCCAUUCUAUUGAUAUUAGGACAGAAAUCGAGCACAUAAUUUAAACUUCCUAGAAAUCUCUGUAAUUGAGUCUUAUCUAGGAUUUUAUCGGGAAACUUGUCUGCAAAGACAAGAGAAUGCUCAAUAGGGGUAAUGGUUCCUUUGGAAAUGUAAUGACCAAGGAACCUGACCUUAGUUUGAAACAAAGAAACUUUAGAACUAGAAACAGCCAGUCCAACUUUUCUAGUGGCAAGGUAAAAAGUCUUUAAAUGUUUGAAAUGUUGAUCAAUUCAAUGGGAAAAAAUCAACGCAUCAUCAAUAUAAAGAAUGCAGAAAUCGGAAUAAGGGUUAUAAAUAUCAUUCAUGAUUCUUUGAAAUUCCGAAGGUGCAUUUUUUAAACCAAAUGGCAUAACCGUCCAUUCGUAUUGUCCAAAUGGAACAGUAAAAGCAGUUUUGUAACGGUCCUUUAGAUAAAUUUGAAUUUGCCAAAACUCGGAUUUCAUGUCAAACUUCGAAAAUAUGAAUGCAGAAUGCAAUUUUUGAAGCAAAUCCUCCUUAUUAGGUAUGGGAUAUCUAAUCCCUUUUAAUGCUUUAUUAAGGGGUUUGUAGUUUAUGACAAGUCUUGGGGUUCCUCUUUCAAUUUCAAAAUUUUUAUUAACAUAAAAGGCGGCACAAGACCAGGGAGACCGAGAUUUAACAAUAAGUCCUUUGGACUCCAAAUCUUUAAUUUCUUCUUUACAAUGUCGUUCCAAAUAUGUAUUCAUUUGGAUCGGACGAGCUUUGGUAGGUAUUUAUUUUUCAUAAAAAUAACUUUCAUAAGGCAAAUCUACCAAGUGUUGUUUUCGGUUCCAAAAAGCAGAUGGUAAAUCAGUACAAAUUUCUUUUUCAAUUAAGGAUUUGAAAUCUAAAAUUUUUCUUUUAAUAAAAUCAUUUUGUAAUUGGUUUUCAAUUCUUUGUAAACUCAAAUCCUUUUUUAAACAAAGUAAAUCAUUUUGUUUUGAUUUGAGAAGGGUAUUGAUAUUGUUUUGAUAAACAGAACAGGCUUUGACAAUAUUUAAAUUUCUUGUUUUCGGUUUUUCAAUAAAAGGGAAAACAAGCUUUUUGGAUUUAGCUUUGAAAGAUAUACUAUCAUAAUUGAUAGUAUACGGGGUUAUAAGAUUUACAAAAGGGGUUCCAAGAAUGACAGAAUGAUGUAUGUCAUUCGUAAGGAGAAAAGAAGUUUUAAAUUCAAAAUCGUUGUUAUGAAUAGAAGCAUCAACUUUAGAACUAACAUUAAGUUUUGAAUUAUUGGCGGCAGAAAGCCUUUCUUUAGUUUUCUCAUGAAACCUUAUAGGGACAAUGUCUUCUUUAAUGCAAUUUAAAUCAGCACCAGUGUCAAAAAGGGCAACGGUGUCAAUUUCAAAAUCUUUGGAAAAAUUCAAAGUAAUCUUUAUCAAAUACUUUCUUGUGGUAAUUUGUUUCAAAAUAAAUAGAAAAUCAUUGGGCACAGAUUCAAUGUUUUCUAAACUUUAUUCCUCAUUAUCACCACCAUCAGAUUCUUUAUCAGAAUUAUCCUGAAGUUGUCUUUGUAAAAGAAGUUGGAUAGUAUCCGAGUCAUGCUUUUGUUUUUCUUUCAAACCUAUUAUCUCAAGUUUGAUUUCUUUUAUCUCUUUCUGAAGAUCUCGGAUGCUGGGUGUUGUUUUCUUGGUUUUCUUUUUGUCCAAAAUCUCAGUUAGAUCAUAAGUAUUCUUUUUAAUGAUUGGGGCUUUAGAAGUUUCAACUUUAUUACCUACUUCUAAGGUUUUUAGAAGCUUGUCAAGGUAAUCUUUUUAAAGAGUCGGGUCGGGUCGGAAAUAUGCUUUACCAAUUCAAGGAAAAUCUCUUGAUCUUUUGUCAAAACAUUUAUUUUCUUUAAAUAAGAAUCUGUAUCAGAAUCACUAUCACUGGAUACAGAUGUAUCUGAGUCAAUUAACUCAUCAGUCUGUAGAGGGUCAUUGUCUCCCGACAUGGAAGACUCAGAGUUAGAAGACUAUAUAAGUAAAGAAGCAACUUUGGAGAGGGUAUCAUCAUCAAGGCCAAGCUCAUUGAGCUUCCUAUUGAAUCUGCAAAAUUUUACAGUAUGGCCUUUCAUUCCACAUUUGUAGCAUGUGGCAUCUUUGCAGUUGAAAGGGGUUUUUGAUUUAGCUCUAAACUCUUUCUUCUUAAAGAAGCGGGGUUUCUUAUAAGGGCUUGGAGGUUUCUUAUAAGGAAGUUCUCUAAAGUCUCGAAAGGGUUUCCUAUGGCUUUUAGAUUUGUAAUGUUUCUUGUAAGGUUUUGUAGAACACUUACCAUUACAAUCUUUGGAAGUGAAAGUUUUAAAGGGGUCAUUGUUGAAUUGCUUACAGAAACUGCCUAAUUCUUGCUUAGAUUUCCUAAGCUCCCAUUUUAGUCGUUUCUGUAAUUUCAAAUCCUGACAGAUCUUUAAACCUUCUUUAUUGACAAAACUGACAAGUUCACCAUAAGUAAGCUCAUCAUAAGGGAUACGAUUGUCAUAUAAGGCUUUAAUGGAAUUCCUAACUUUUUCUCCUAAUAGGGUAGGUAAACCUGCAAGGAACUUCUCCUUCCAAGUUAUAUGAUUUGCAUUAUCCUUAAGGCAAAGUCUGGUGAAGAAUGUAGUUUUGUAGCUCUGGAAUUCACUAAGUUUUCUACACCGUAAAACCCGCAAUAAGAAUUUCUGCAAUGGCUUUGUCAGAAGUUCCCGAUUGGGUUUUGUAGGCAUUGGCUGCCAUGGUCAUUUGUUGCAACAAUCCUAUGACAUUGUAUUCAGACAUACCGUCAAUAUUCCACUCAUAGACAGAAGAUGCAUUAAAUCUAGAUUGGUUUAAUGCACUGGGUCGAUUGUCUAUGGCCAAAUCAGGUGGAGACCUGACAGUGGGAAGGGCUAACUCCCAAUGGAUUUUAUUGGCUUUAGGAAUUGGUUCUUCUGUGAAGGCUUCUACAUCAGAAGAGGCUAUAGAAAGAUUAUCCUGUUCUAGUACACCAAUCUUGCUAGACUGUGCACUAUCAGGGGCUAUCUGGACCUUAGAAGAAGAAGAAGAAGCUUCUAUUCUAUCUAAUUGGUCUCUAAUGGCUUUAGCAAAAUCUGAUUUUGACUCUUGAACAAGCUUUUGACUAGUUUUCGAAACCUGGAAAUGUUUGAAAAUAGGCUCUUUAAGCUUUUUGUCAGAAUCUGAUUUUGAAAGGGCUGGUUUUGUAGAAACAGGAGAAACAAUUAUGGUUGACUACUGGAACUGGUUUUCUAUCCUAGUCAACUGUUUUCCUAUUGUAUUUAGAUUAGCAUUACAGAAAUUAUUCUGUUGGAUAAUGCUAUCUAAAUCUGUUUCUGGGUCUUUAUGGAUUUUGUAAGGUGAGGCUUUGAUCUCUACAGGGGGUUCACCAUGAUCUAUGGUUAAACUCCUGAGAGGUGGAUGGUCAGAUUCUAUGGUUCUACCACUACCAGAAAAAGUCCAUUCAGGAAUCUUCUUUCUAGUAGUAAUGGGGUUUGACUCUUUAAAGGGAUAAGAAAUGUUGUUCUCUGAAGCAUAUAAUUGAAACCAUUCAAAAAAUAGAAUAUGAACUUUAUGUGAGUUUACAACUUGUAAUAAACUUCUUGAAUUUCUUUUCUUUGAUUUAAAAAAUGUUUAAAAAACCAAAGUCUUUUUCUUUAUUCGAAUCAGAAUAAAAAUCAUUAUGCAAAAGAGUUUUAUCUAAUUCAAAUUCUUUUUCCAUGACAUUUAUCACAUUUUCAGUGACGGCUGAAAAUGUGGGAGAGGUUGGAGGAGAAGGUUCCUUCUCUUCCUGUCUUUUGUCAUGCUGACUGCUGGUGUAUAUUGGAUGCGGAACACUAGUGGUGUAGUCAACAGAAUGUAUGGAUGAACUAGGUAUAUCCGAAGUGGAAAACCUAGGUUGGCUUUGGAAAGGGAGAUUUAUUACGGAAGGAAUUUUGGAGAAUUUCUUUUCCAAUAAGGGGAUGCUGGAGACAGAAUCUUUAUCAGAAAAUCUAGACGAAGUAGAUCUCCUAAAGGAUAAUUUGACUCUACCAUCAUAAUACUGAGUCACAUUUUGUAACUCUGUAUUAGGCUCAAGUUGUUUUGGAAUCACUGGGGCAGUGGCUCCUUCAAGGAUCCAUUCAUCUGGAAGGUUGAUAUCUUUCUAUUGGAUCGGUUUUGGAAUGACAGUAUUGGCUUUAGACAGGUCAGUAUACAAGAGAAGAGUAUCUUCUCUUUUUGACUGGAAUUUGUGCUGUGUGCUAAAUGCGGAAAUCAUGGCUUUAUAAGAGAUUUUAAAAAUCAAUGCAACUGGGACAGAACCCUCAAUCAUAUGAUAAAUGUGGGUUUUGAUUUGUAGAAUCAUGCUUUUCAAAAUAUUUUUGUCUUUUAAAGAGACUGUUAUGUUUAGGUAACAGUCGAAUGAGAUAAGGCCUUUACAUAGACUCGAUUCUAUGCUACGUAGCAAAGAAUCAUCAAAAGAGAUGAAUCGCCCAUCUCUAAGGACAGUAAGAAUGGAAGUGUUAAGUCUUUCCUUAGUGAGAGGCUUUAUACCGACUUGGAUCAAACCAAUAUGGAUCCGGUCUCGUUGCCUCAGAGGAACGUAGUAGUUGUAUGGCAGAUCUGAUACAGAUCAGUCUGCAAGUGAUGCUUUAAAAUAAAUUGCAAAAAUUUAAACAUACAUUCAAAGCUUUAAAAAAUAAAAUUACAAAUGCUUUAGAUAAAAUUGAAAAAUAAAUUGCUUACAUUAAUUGCUUUCUUUAAAAUGCUUUAGGAAGGUUGAUCUAUAUAGAGAAGAAAUGGAAAAUUACAAGACCAGGAAAAAUUUCCUUGAGUUGUCUUGAUCCAGAUUUUAUCAUUCUUUAAAAAAUCCAGAUUUUUUGUUUUGUAAAUCAUUUCUUUUGAAAUCUUAGGAAGUUCCCAAUUAUCAAUUGCUUUAUUAAAAUCUUCAAUUACAAAUUCUUCAGAAUUCACAACAUUCUUUGAACCGCUAGUCUUCCCAGAAGAAGAGCUAGAAAAGGAUGAUGCUCUACAGAGUAGAGAGUCCAUGGAUAAAAACCUAUGAUCUAAUUUGGUCUUGAUCGUAUGGCUACAGGUAUGGUUUUACUGCCCUAAGCGGAAAUCCUUAUCCUGAAACGGGACAUACUACCAGUAAGAAAUUCACCACACAAACAAAAUUCAAAAUAAAACACAAGUCUUUACACACAGAAAUCUCUAAACUAUAUUACACUAUCUUCCCCCUGGGAUACAGGGUCCUUGAGAAUCCCUUUCCCUUUGUAUAUAUAUAUAUAUAUAUAUAUAUAUAUAUAUAUAUAUAUAUAUAUUUUCCUUGUUCUUCAGAUAACUGGGCUCGAGGUAAUUAGCGUCCAAGUGGUGAAGAUAAGUUGGCACCCGCAAUGAAGAAAGCCGACCUCGCGAUAGAGUUUGGCAAAGGCUUCUACUGUGUACCCUAAAUUUUCGAAUUGGCAUGCAUCCUGGGAAAAAUCAGUUUUUUUUUUUAUUUAUAAAAAACUUUUAAGAUCGUUCUCAUACAAUAUAUAAGAAUUUGAAAUCUAGAAAUCCUACCUUAAAAAUCCGAUUUAGUUUUUUCCGCUGAAGUGAUUUAGGCUCCCAGAUCACGAUCCAUCACCACCACGCCUGUUAGAUCACGAUCCGUCACCACCACCACUACAAGAAAAGUAUGUAUAGUAGCAUCCGAAAAAUGCUACCAAAAGCAAAUGGUAGCAUUUUAGGCAAUGCUAAGUUAGCCCAUGUAACUAAAAGUCUUGGCAUUUGAUAGCAUUUAUUCAAUGCUACAAACUGUUAUACAUAACAUUUAAAAAAAGCUAUGUAAUCAUUGAUUAUUACAUUUUAGAAAUGCCAUCAUUCUCUUAUGUAUAGCAUCCGGAAAGUGCUACCAUAUUAUAUUUACAGCACACAAAAAAUGCUAUUGUUGGCAAAUUUAUUCCAUAUAUGUAAGAUUCUAUGGCUAUUAGAAAACGCUACUGGAUAAUUUAUAAGUGGCUACCAUAGCAUCUUUGUAAGGUUAUUGAAGAUAGAAAAAUUGAUACUUGUAAUGUAUUUUUUAUUCUCAAUAUUUUUAAAGGCUACUAAUUAUACAUACAAUUCAUCGUUCAUCUAAUUCAAUUAUGUAAUAAUAUGUGAACAUCCAAUUACUUAAAAAAUUAGACACAAUGAUAAGUAUAUUUGUGUCAUACUUGUAUAUUUUCUAAUGAUAAAAAAAUUAGGGAAAACAAAUCUAGUACUAUAUCUUCAAGUUGCCUUCAACACUGCACCAAAAAUUCUUGAUCUUCAUGGCCUACACCAAAAAUUCUUUAUCUUCACAGCCUGCAUAUGAAUUCAGAACAAAAAUAUAAUUGUGUUUUGCUCUUAGAAAAAAUAUUAACCACCAUUAAAUAUAUAUCUAGUACUACGAUUACAAGAAUAAUAUGCUAAAAAAAAGUAAAACAAAAUUAAAAAGAAAAAACUCAAUGAUAUAUUCUGAGAAACUAGUGUAACUAAAAAAUCACAAAACAAAAAGUUUAGAAUUUUAAAAAGAUAGCAAGAGAAAAACAAAUAAGCAAUAAUAAUAAUAAUAAUAAUAAUAAUAAUAAUUUGAAAAGAAAAUGGCAAAACACAAACCUUUGUUUUUGGUGAGGUUACAAAACUGGGUCAAUGUGCGGUUGGCCAAAAGCUAGAGGUGUUGCCGUGUAGGAGUUGGGUCUUCUUCAAUUGGGAGGCAUUAUUUUAUCAUAUCAAAUCCAACCAAAAAAAAGAAAAGGUUAUCUUCCAUUAAUUUUCUAAAAAAUCCAAAUUCACAAUUCAACACAAAAGUUAAAAAUUAAUGAUAUCAAUAAUUUAAGAGAGAAAUUGGAAACAAAAGAACAAUUAUAACAAAAAUUUAAAAACCCAAAAGCAAAAAUUGUGAAUUACCUUCACGAAACCAGUUUUUGGGACCCAUCAAUUUCUUCUGUCAAACUCAAGUCAUUUGGAGAUUCAAUUGCUCAACAAGUUAAAGGAUGAUUAUGUUAUAUGAUUUCUAAGGAAAUUUUGAGGGAUUAGGACUUUAGUUGCUUUGAUGUGUGAAGACUAGAGAGAGACGGAUUGAGGAGAGAAGAAAACAAAAGCUUUGACUUUGGCUGUUAGGUGAAAGCUGAGAGAGAGGCAAAAGGAUUUUAGAAUUAAUUUGAGAAUUUUAUUUUUUUGUUUGGCGGUAGAUCUAGAUUCCGCUUUAUUUUUCUCUCUUUUUUUGUAGCAUUUCUGGUGUGCUACUAAAUUAAUGUUUAUAUUGUAGCUUUUCCAAAAUGCUAUAUUAUUAAAUGUUAAACACAGCUCUUCUAAAAUGCUACCAUAUGAAUUUUAUUAAAUGUAACAUAAAUUUGUAACAUUUACAAAGUGCUACAUUAUUAAAAAUUAAGCAUAGCAUUUAUUAUGUGUUACAAAUUAAAUGUUAUAUCUAUUAAAAAAUAAAAUGUAACCAUUAAGUAGUUAAUAGUAGCAUUUUUUUACAAAAUGUUACAAUAGAAUGACAUUUUGUAGCAUUUUAAAAAAAAGUGCUACAAUUUAAUGCUACUAAAGAUGAUAUUUGUUGUAGUGCACGCUUGUUAGAUCACGAACUAUCACCAAUGAUCUUCCAGGUUAUGACUCAGGUUUGAUCUGCACUUGACGUGUGGGCGCCUUUAUCACUACCAAAGCAACUAGCACGAGAAAAUUUUUCUCUCAACAAUAGAAAGAAAAAUAUUUUUCUAUGAUCUGUAUAAAGUGGCUGCUCUCUUUUUUUUUGGGAGAAAAUAAGCCUUUUUAUAUUGCUAUUUUGUGGAAACCCAAGGCUCCAUAUUUAUUUAUUUAUUUUUAAUUCUAUUAAAUCACAUUUGGUUUAAAUUAAAAAACAAUCAAACAAAAGUCACGUUACUUGUUUUUGUGUUAUAGAGGCCCACCUUGUAAAAUAACACAAAGCCCCUUACACUCAAGCAUAUUAAUGGAGCCUCCGACUAAAUAAUAUAUUUAGGCAUUUAACUUAAAUAGCUAGUUAUCUUACUUAUUAAUCCAGUAGCGGCUCAGUCAAUUAAAUGAGCUAACCUGUGGAUCAUAUGGGUACAUACAAUAAUGGCUACAAUAAUUAGACCUGUAAUUAAACUAGCCCAAUUACUUAAUUCCAAAUCUACUCCACUAAAAGAUUGGAAUUGACCUCCAUAAUUGUAUGUUAUCUAGGAUAGUGUUCUCGAAUAAUAAUUCGACCCAUACCACAUUGAUUUCUUUACUUCAUAAUCAUUUGUACCACAUCGUUAAUUAAAUCGAUAUCUCAACUGUCUAAUCGAUUUAAUUACAUCUUGUUCCUUGAUACUUACUGGUUUUCUCUAAUGAUCAUUUUCAACAUACUAAAUACGUUGACACACUCUGGCCAGAGAAUUCUAUGAUCAAGUGUCGAAAACCCAUCAAGAGAUGUGUUGUACAAAUUCUAUAUUGUUAAUAUAUAACUCCAAUACUCAUAAUUGCUCCCACCGAGAUACCAGGUAAUCUUGACGACAAGCAUGUGUCGUGCCCAUUAGUAACUCAAGUAGAAUAACAAUUACAAUCAUGAAAUCAUAAUUAACUCAAGAUUAAGAUUACAGUAAAAUCAAUGCCUAUGAGAUUUAAUAAGUCUGACAGUCAUUUCAAAGUUAAUUAAAUCUCAUAUGUGAUUCAGCUCAAUGUAGUCAAACUACAUCAGUAAAUUCAUAUAUGAUUAAGACAAAUUAUUCAAUGAAUUUACUACAGUCUAAACAUAAAUAGAGCGUCCAACUCCAUUUAUCAACUGCGAACUAAAUUUAUUUAAUCAUAAGAUAACUUGUAUUUAUGUCUUCUGUGAAUCCAUAUGAUGAUCACAUAAAUACAUAUAAUAUGAUUAAACGGACCUUAUUCAAUAUAUAUUUAUGCAAUUGAAAAUAUCUCAAAUAUUUUAUUAAUCAGAAAAUAAAUUAAUAUGCUUUAAAAGAGCAUAUAAUCCCAACAAUGCAAAUGUGGAAUCAUUCAAAAGGAAGAACACAACUACAUCAUGAAACGGGAGGUUUUCAAUGAGAGACAUCAAGCUGAACAGUAUUUGAUUGAAAAUACUGAGUUUCUCAACAAGAUAAUCAUGAUCUUGAGGAAAAAUUUGCUCGAAAGGCAUUGACUAUAUAAAGUAUUCUGAGAUGAUCGAGCUCAGUCAGGUCAAUGCAAAUAUCGGGUCACUACAAAUAGAAAAGGACUUGAAAGUGGUGUUAUGCCAACAAUCGGAGAAUUUGACUGCACAUAAAUGGUUUCUGGAGAUUUGGCCAUACCAAGCAUAUCCCUUAGAACCAAACGAAACUCGGUGUUGUUGAUGCUCUUCAUUGGGACUCAAAAUUACUCUGCUGAGUGCUUAGGGUGAGAGAUUUGUACUACUUCUUCAUGCUCUUCUAAGCCUGUUUGGUAUGGCUUAUUUAAGAGCCAUAAGUGCUUAUUUAAUCGUAUAAACACUUUUUAAAAUUUUUUAUAGUGUUUGGUUAUUUUUUUAAUGGAGUUUUUUUAGCUUAAAUAAGCUAAUUUACCUCUACUAGUAAAAGCCAAAAAUUUGAGCUUUUGGGAGUAGAAGCUAUAGAGCUUUUCUAAAAAUAUAUAAUAUAAAAAAUAUCACAGUUUAAUGGUUCAAAAAUGCUUUUUUUAUUGACAACCAAACACCCAAUGACUUUUUGUCCAAAAGCUCUAUUGGUAUAAGCUCUACUGCUAUAAGUUCUACUGUUAUAAGCUCUAUUUAAUAAGCUGUACCAAACGGAGCCUAAUGGGCUUUUCCAUUGCCUUGAUUGUCUUUAACUGUUAAGCUGCUUAGGGUCCAUAUUUAUCGUCCCCAAAAAAUUGUAAUCAUUUAGGCAUUGUACAUAGGUGGCGUAAUUCAAAAAUAUUUGUCCAAGUUCUUGUAGUUCACUAGUUCAUAACCUUUGGGGCAGACUUGUCAAGUGGUCAUUUCCUUCUUUCUUUUGUGUUUUAGGCUCCCUCUGGUACUGAUGUUGGUGGGGAUAAGCACGUCGGGUUCGGUUUGGGAAAAUUAAGAUAAACGAUGGAGCUAUUAGUAUCCCUUCCAAAAAUCUUAUAAAACCCAUUACUUAGCCACUUACAAUUUUGACCUUAAUUUCAAUUAUAUUCUAAAAAAAAAUUUAUUAAACCCAUCUUAAUACUCUAAGGGCGUAUUUUAUCCUUUGAUUAUAAACAUGUAAUAUUUAUAAUUUUUAUUUAAAAAUCAUAUUUAUCUUAUAUUAUUAUUACCUCCACCAAACAAACGGAGUCUCGACAGUAUAGAAAUAUUAAAUUUGUUAAUACAGACGACAGAGACAUAUAUCUAAUUGUAACUCAGCCCCGUUAUUACUCAAGUCUUGUUGUGUAUUAUUUAAUAGCAUGAUUUGCGGUUGUGAUCACCUAGUCUAAACUCUAUAAACCGUAGUCAAGCAGCCAGCUGUCUGAGUGAAAUUUAGUUAUCGCUUGACUUUGACAUUAACACAUCCACAGAAUGAGAUAAUGAAUUGAUGAUACCACAAAUUUCUAUUUUCCACACAACAAGAUAGCAGAGUUGCACUCAAUUCGGAAUUUUGGAUUCAGCUGCCCCAAUUGAGCACGUUUCUGGAAAAACAGACAAAUACAAUGAAAGUGGCAGUUUGGCAUCAUUAUUUGUUACAGCUGAUAAUAAAGACUUAAAUGACUUCUAUCUUUUAUGACUCUAAUUGAUUUUGGUCUAUUUUAUAUAUCCCGGAUAUUUCUCAAUGAAAAGUAUGAUAAUAUGUAAAAACUAAAUUAUGAAAAAUAAAUGUUGAUCCUCUGCUAAUCUAUUUCCAAAAUUUGCAACACUCCCGUCGAGAGAGGAAUUAGCAUGUCAUCAUGAUCAUAGAGUAAGUUGAGAAAUUUAAUUUUUUUUAUUAUUACAUUUUGAUACAUUAAUUAAUCAUGUGAACACCAAUAAAUGUACCAUAUCAAUCAUCUGUUGAAGCAAGUAGUAUAAGGUUUGAAUCCAUGUUCAGAUGAGUGGAAAGAGAAUUGAAUUGCUGUUAGGUUUAAAUUAAAAAAAAAAAUUCAAACUGUAGAAGCCAUGACGAUCGAUGUGUUGAUCAACGUCCUUCUCAACAAGGUAUAUUACAAGGCAGCAUCAGCAUGCGUAGGCAAUGAGGCAUGCCUUUUUUUUUUUUUUAAGUAUAUGUACUAGAUAAAUUAUAUCGAAUAGCAAAUUAUUUUUGACAGCACUUUCGAUCGGUAUACAUGAUCUUAAACUAAAAAGGUGGGUUAGGGCUCAAUGUCACGGACCACUCAAAUUCUGGGACAAAGAGAUUAAAUGCACAAGCCAAGAUGUGCUAGCUUGACUUGAUGCUAGAAGGUUCCAGCUCUAGUCAAGAAUGGCAACUUUAGUAGACAACAAAUUAAUAUUAAAGCUACCAAGACAGUUCCAAAAUGAGAACGUCUACAUAUUUUGUAAUUGAGUAUAUCAAUCUUUUAGUGACAAGUUGUUACAUGUGUCUGUGUAUUUUUUAAAUUAUCAACCAUACAAAUACAAUAUAAAUUAAAAUAAAGUAAUUGGAUAUAGAUGCAUGAUCACGUUGAGUCGUCGACAAUACAAUUAAGAAAGGAGACUUGUUCCAUUUUCUAACACCAUAUUAAAAAAGAACCAAGUUGUUGAGUAAUUGAACGUCUACGAAUAUGAACACCACAAAUAUGGAGGAAGUUGCAGUAGGGCACUGCCAACGAGUCAAUAGAUAGUGACGUGCAUGCUCAAGAAAAUUAUUAACCUCAGGACUUUUCAAAGAACCCAGCAAGUUGUUAGAUUAAUUUGUUUCGACCAUUCAGGUUGUCAUUAUUAUCAGUGUAGAAAUUUUUAUUUUAUUUUUCUUCCACUAUGGCUCAUGGUCAUGGUGAUUUUCCUCUAUAAAUGGGCUGCCAAGAAUUGGUGUUAGUAUAACACACUUUGCAAUUUCGUUUAUCUCUAUGGCUAAGUUCUUUUCCCCUCUCAAUACCCCUUCAAUGGCUCCCGUCGUCUUGUUUCUUCUUGGGCUGCUAAUGGCUACCUUAGAUACAACAAGUAUAUAUCUUAAUUUCUCGAGAAAAUGAUCAAAACCUCUUUGUUGUUCAUAAAUAAUUUAAUUUCUUUUAAUGUUUCAAAAUCUAUCAAAUUCGCUUUCAAGAGCUUGACCAAGUAGUUUUUAAGCAAUGUUUUAGCUGAUCCUCGAUGAUCGAAUAUGGAAGUGAUAGUGACUAAAAACUGAUUUUGCACUUUAUCCAUUUCCUACUUUUUUUUCUUUUAAUCCAUCAAAACAAACCCGUACGUUAUCAUUCAAUUUUCUGAGUUUUAAUAAUACUUUACCUAUUGUGUUUUAAUAAUACUUGACUUAUUACAACUUUUUUUUAUAAACAUUGAGUUUUAAUUAGUGGUUACCACAUCAAGGGAAAAAAUAUUAAAAGCAUAAAACAAGUUAGAAUUUAACAUAAUUUUUUUUUAAAGACAGAAUUUUUGAAAUAUACGGUGCGAAAUGAUUACUUUACCGAAACCCAACGUAACCAUUUGAUCGUUUUCCCUAUCCUUCUCUCUAUCCAUGGAUUAAUAUUAUUCAUUAACUACUAUUAUAAGUUCUUAAUUUGUUCAUUAUCUAUAUAUUGCAUUUUACAGGUGCCCAAAUAGGUGUUUGCUAUGGAAUGCUUGGUAACAACUUACCAUCAAAACGAGAUGUCAUAGCUCUCUACAACCAAAACAAAAUCAGAAGAAUGAGACUCUAUGAUCCAAACAGAGAAGCACUCGAAGCUCUCAGAGGCUCCAACAUUGAAGUCAUGUUGGGCCUUCCCAACGACGACCUCCGAAGAAUCGCUUCCAAUCAAGCCGAAGCAAACACUUGGGUCCAAAACAACGUCCGAAAUUUUGCUAACAAUGUUAAGUUCAAAUACAUUGCUGUAGGAAAUGAAGCAAAACCUGGAGAUAACUUCGCUCAGUACCUUGUUCCCGCCAUGAGAAACAUACAAAACGCCAUCAACGGAGCCGGCCUUGG
Molecule: long non-coding RNA, 61662 nt
Filed under: Citrus x clementina
Lineage: Eukaryota; Viridiplantae; Streptophyta; Magnoliopsida; Sapindales; Rutaceae
Description: Citrus clementina (C. clementina) long non-coding RNA (CCLE_LNC000439)
Source: RNAcentral